UUUUUUUUUUUUUUUUGUCAAAACUGUGGCAAGUUAUUCAUGUAGUAUGAUGGAUGGAUUUGCAUUUUGGCCUUCAACUCUUUGGUGAGCUGCAUCUGCUGUAAGUCGCCCUUUAUUUGUUUAGUAUUUUUUUUCUUAUAUACGCAGCUAGAAGUUGAGGAGCUUCUUAAAUCCCAUUUUUAUGCUCCUAAAAAAUUGGCAAAUCCAGAGAAACUUAUAGAAAUAAAUCCCAUUUUUGUUAUCUAAAAUUGAAGAGUGAAAAGAAGAUUGUCAUUCUCAAAUUUCGCACAGUGCUAUAGCUAUUGCAAUCUUUAUGUAGACUUAUGGGCAAAUUGAUUCCUGGACUCAGUUAUCGUUGAGCUCAUGAUCUCACAAGUGCUUAUUUGGGGAGGUAGGUAAGAAUGCUUCAUUUGCUGAAGUUAAAAUUAAAGAAAAACAGUUUAUAAAAUACAUUAACAAAAUGCAGCAUAUGAACAAGAUGAUGAUGCAAUGCACCAUACUACACGCAGUGGAGAACAUAGAAAACAUCAGAAACUUCUCAGAAAAAUAAAAGAAGAAGAGAAAGGAAAGCCACGGGAUGCUGCUAGUGCUAGGCAAGGAUUGUUUUCUUCUUCUUCCCCCAUAGCCGGCGGAUUAUCCAUUCCCCAUCAUCGGCAUAGAAACCAAUGACAAUUUCAGGAAUGUGUGCUAUUCUUCUGUAAUCUUCACUGUCUUCCUUUUGAUUCGCCACCUUUUCCAUCAGUUGAGAACUCAUCUCAUCCAAAUACAGCUCUUGAAGAUGGCUCAAGUGCUGAAUUCCCGAUGGUAAGUCCUCUAGUGAUGGAAGUCGAUCAAGAACUAGUGUUCGGAGAUGAGGGCAUGCACCCUCCUCCACUGCCAUCCAUCUCAACCCUUCCAUUCCCUUUAACGACAACCAUCUCAGCUUUAGGAACCCUCCAGCCUUGAAACAUAACCCUUCUCCUUGGUAACAUCCACAGAAAUUAAUUGUAUCCAAAUUGGGCAAAUGUUGGAGGAAUUCAAGCGGGUCCUUCUCACCCCUUAACCUACUCCAGUACAAAUUUAUUUUUACCAAGUUUUGAAGAUGAGUCGUCCAUGCUGGCAUCGUUUCUAAACGGCCAUGCAUAAUUAGCACACGAAGAGAUCGAAGAAACGAACAAGAAGAAGAAGAAGAAAGAGAAUGUUGAUAAUGAUUUAGAUCGAUUAUCUCAGAAUCAUCACCUUUUCCAACUGAAUCAACACUUAAUUCCCGAAGGCUGGUGAGGUUGGCAAGGGAGGAGCAGAGCUCCUUUCCAUCUUCUCUUCUCAACUGUGUAAUAUAUAAAUCUCUUAAUUGGGUCAAUUUUCCUAUCUCUUUAACCAUUACAGACCCGCUGCUUGCAUCUAUGGUGUCUAACCUUUGUAAAGCGAGAAGCACUCCCAAUUUUGACGGACCUUUAAACCCAUGAAAUCCAAAAUCUUCAUCUGAGGGAUCAACUUGUUGGUAUACUCUGAGAUGCCGAAGCCUUUGCAGCUUUAGAAUUUCCACGGGUAAUUCCCUAACUCUAGUGUUCCCCAAAUUCAGAUAUUCCAAAUGUUGAAGCUUUCCAAUAGCUCUCGGGACUCUUGCCACUUUUGUACCAUAUAGGCUCAGAUAGGUGAGAUGCAACAAGUUGAAAAUCUCAUUUGGUGUUUCCUCUAUCUCUUCAUCUUCCAAAUCCAAAACCUUUAGCAACUUGCUACUCCUUAAAACUUCAGAUAAGAAAGUUUUGGAUAGUAAUGGGUUGGUGGAACUAAAUGUGAUGAAUGAUCGAAGGUGUUCAAAGGAAUAAAAUUGUCUAUGUUGGUGGUGUGGGAUGCUGCUGCUGUUACUACUACUAUGGAGUACUAGACGGCGUACCUUCUCAGAUGGCCACGUCAUUGGUUGUCCAGUAGUAACUGUCACCAUGUUUUGUUCCCUUGACUUGAUGAGAAUAACUUCCCUCAAUAGGUCAUGGAUUUGACACUUCUCGGGUAAUCCUCCAUAAAACACAUCAGUCACUUGAAUUAGGCUUCUAUUGAUGAGUUCACUGAGAUAACCCCAGGCUACAUCUUCAAUACUCAUUCCUUCUCUCCAUUCUACAAAUCUUUCAGCAAUCCAUGAUAGAACCAGCACACUGCAGUGUAUUAUAUCAUCCUCCGGAUAAAUAGUUAAAUACAACAGACAGGGUUUGAGAUGCGAAGGCAGAUCAUUGUAACUCAGAGAAAUUAUCCUUUUAACUCUGUCCAGCUUACCAGUGCCUUCUAAUUCACCCCCAAGACUGCGUCGAACCAUCUCCCAUUCAUCUAUUCUGCUCACGUCCUUCGAAGCCAAGAGCCCGCCGAUCGCAACAAUCGCCAAAGGCAAACCGUCACAUUUGUCCAAUACAGCUUUUGCAACAUCCAUCAGGUGGGCGGGGCAAUGAUUUCCUUUAAAGAUCUUGUUACAAAAUAGCGUCCACGAAUCUUCAAUUGAUAGUGGCUCCUUUUUGUAGACAUAAUCCUGAGAUUCUGUGCAAGAGGCAGAGGCUACAUCGGCUUUUCGUGUUGUUAGCAUGACGCGAUUGCCAUAGUUACCCUCAGGCAGUGCAAAUUUGAUUUCAUUCCAAAAUUCCACGUUCCACACGUCAUCAAACACAAUUGCAUACCUUGCAGCUUUUUGAAGAAAACCUUUGACAAUUUUUUUCAGCUCAGCAGUAGUCUUGGACUCGAUCGAUUGUGGGACUGGUUCCUUCUCUUCCUCGUAUAAUUGCCGAAUCAAGUCUCUCAGGAGCUUUGGAAAGUCGCAUGUUUGAGAGACGGUUAUCCAGGCACGAACUGGGAAAUUCUGUCUAACAUCUGGAUCUUCAUGGACCUUUUUGACUAGGGUAGUUUUCCCUAGUCCAGCCAUACCCACCACUGAAAUAACUUUGAGCUGGUGAUCGUCCCCCUCGAGGAGCUCAGAAAUCAGAUGUUGUUUGGGCUGGUCAAUGCCAACCAAUUUUGCUUCCUCCACUAGAAGUGCGUCAUCCCUGCUAUAGCGCCAUGAGUCGUUCAUGGUUGAAGAUCCAGUGACACGGUCAUCGAUGCCAAAUUCAACUUGGUAUCUCUGACGUCCUUCUGAAAUAUUUUUGAUCCUGGACUUUAUGCUUUGAAUUUCACUGGCAACCUGAUGACGAGCUCGCAAGCUCUUAAUGGCUUUGAGAAUUUUCUGAAGAGAGCCACGGAAUCCAUGAUGUCGGUAGCCAGCAAAGCGAAGUACAAAUUCAUCGAGAACAUCUUCAAUGUCAUAAGCAGCUUCGCGCACUUGCUUGAUCCAUUCUUGGAGCCUGGGAUCUUCUUCUUCUUUUGCUUCAGCCACUUUGAGGAAAGCUUUCAUAUGCCCCAACUCAUCCUUGAUGAGUUGGACCUCCUGUCGAAGCCCUCCCAAUAGGCUUCCCUCCUCUCGGAGUAAGGUUGCGAGAUGAUUUGAAACAAAAGAGACAACAGUUGCUGCCAUUUUCAGUCUUCCUUUUUAACCUAAGAAUGUCGGGGAAGGCGGCUUCUGGUUUAUAGGAUAGGACAGUCCAGUUGUAAUAUCUUGAAAGGAAGAAGGAAGAGGAAGUUAUAGAUUCAUAAGCUGAUGUUCUUCGGUGCAGUAUUUAUCAAAAAGAAAAACCGCGUUAAACAGAAAAAGAAAGAAUUAACCAAUUAGAAGACACUAAAGCAAGAAACAUGAUGGAAAUUGAACACGGGAAGAUAGGCAGCAACCUGAGUUUGAAAAACGAAGCUGCCUCUUACCUGCUUAGAAAUUAGAAUACAAAGUCGUUGAAGCUAUUAAGAAGAAUCUGCAAAUGGUGGGGUGAUCAUCCUUCGGGACUAAUUGCACGAUUGCACGAUUCACUACUAAAUUAAUCGCGUUUAGUACUUUGGUCAGAUAAAGAUAAAGAAGUGACUACCAAAAUAAAAAUAAUGACACUUGUGAAUCAAAUGGAAGCCAGCUAUGGGUUUUCCAGGAACAUGUGAUGCAGAGGAGUGGAACAGAAAAAUCAACUCAAGACCAAAGUAAGCUAUAGUUACUUUAACCUAAGCUUGAACCUCUCCCCUACCUUGUUUCUUAUAUUAUAACUGAAUAGUGGAUAUUCAAUGCAUAUUCAACUAAAUAACGCACUUUAUUUGUUGAAAGCAAUAGUAAAAACUUACAGUUAAAGUGCAAUUGUUCACUCAUCUUCUUUUUUGGUGAAGAACGGGAGGGUGGACACACAGGUGAGAGCCAAAACCCCAUUUUCUAGAAAUAGGAAAUAAAUGACUUUAUUCAUUCAAUAAGAAGUAGGUCUAGAAUUACAAGAGAACUAUCUAAAUAUAUAGUGUUCAAUGCAUUACUUAUUAUUCGGCACGUUUAAAAGUCUAUACAUACACAUUAUGCUUUUUUUUUAUAUAUAUAAUGUUAAUUACCCUUUUCUACUAUCAAAAUAGAAAUCUAAAGUUUGAAAUAGAAAUAAACAGCUGUAGUGAUUUAUUUUCGUCCUAUGACCAACAUUGCACAAUAGUAUUCUCAAAUACGAUUUUGUAGAGGGAAAAGUGCACCAUAGGUCAACAAACUUUUCCAAAAUCUCUUAUCUCAAAUAUGUUGUAUACCCUUUCUUUUAAUCCUGUGAAUGUGAACUCAAUCCUAAUCAAAUUUUACAAAAAAAAAAAAAAAAAAAAACCACAUAUCAUUUCUUUUUUUUUUCCCCCCUUUUGAUUAUAUUCAGUUUUUCUUUUGGCAAAACCCCAAGUUGGGGGAGGGAACUCAGUUAUAUAAACAUAGUUAUACAUAUUUUAAAAUUCAUAGUAAAAGUUCACACGAAGUAUAUAUUGUUAAAAUUCGUGUGUAAUAUUUCCUAUGAAGCGUACAAAUUCAAUCAAAAAGAUGGGUUAUAAAAACAAACAUUAAAUGUCCAUUUUCAUAUUCUUUCAUGAGUAUACGUGAUUUUUUUUUUUAAUUUGAACCACUGAUUUUGUGCAUAUAAUCUUAAUUUUAUUAGUCUAUGAACAGUAGGUGGUUGGCCUAUCCUUCCACUCUCACGAUGUGCUGAUAAAAAGUUGAAUAUGCUGUGACCGAUGAUGUUUCAACUAUACCUCUCUCAGCACAUGUUUUCUAAUUUUAAAAACUUAAUUGAUAUAUCAAGUAAAGAUUUUCUUUUUUCUUUUUUUUUCCUGACUUUCUGAACAAGGUUUUUUUUUUUCAACACAGAGGUGUCCGGGUCAAUCCUUAUGGAGCCCGACUAAUCCCCUGCAACCUGGGCCCGGUGCCCCAACCCAAUCCGAACGCGAUAAGCGCGCGGAGGAAUCUAGCAGAGCGGAGACUCAAACUCGGGACCUUAAGGGUCACCUGUGAGAGGCGCUACCGCUGGACCAUUCACGCAGGGCCUGAACAAGGUUGGAUGUGAAGAAAGAAGUGGGAAUGAAAAUAUUGGAGAUGGAUAAAAUUAAAUGCUCAGCAUAAGACAAUUGAGGUAACCUUUAACUACUGAGCCAAAUCCCAUCACCACCAUCUUAUCAUGUCUAAUUAGUCUUUUAGUUCCUUGUAAUGUUAAAAAAAAAAAUAUGGAACCAAAUGGGAGUAUGUAAUCUGUCCUUUUGCAGGCAUAAUUAAUUUGUGGGAAAAUCUUGCUACAUAUCUGCAAGGACUAAAUAAAGAUUGACUAUAGGAAGCGAGAAUGUAUCCUUGUAAAGAAGAUUUUUAUGUAGGGAUACGAAAAGAGAAAUUUGAAACAUAUAGUUGGAUUGGUUAUUCCUGAGUUUAAAGAGUCACAGGCUAAAAAAGUAGUAGUAGUACAAUUUUUUUUCCAAUCCUAGUUCAAAGCCAUAAUUAACAAUUGUACAGUCAUAAUUUGGAUUCAAAUGUGAUAAGGUGCAUUAUUCGAGCUAUUGUAAGUGAAACAAAAGAAGAAACAAAGUCAAAAAAUUUUCCUAGUGACUAAUAGUGCCGUUGGUUCCUAGAAAUAACAUAAAAAAAAGAGAUAGAGAGACACUAUCGAUAUUAUAAAGUUCUCUUGAUGUUUGUCAUUUUUAUAUGGUAACUUAUUAUAAACGAAUUGUUAAAGCCAUGUGAUAAAGUUAAGAACGAAAUUACACUAACGUGUUUCAUUCCAAAGCUAAUUGUAUUGUUAGAAAUUACAUUAACAUGAUUCAUUUGAAAUCUAAUUCUAUUUCAUAAUUCAAAAGAAAUUUUGAUGCAAUAAAACUUCUGUUUUGAAUAUGAGACCUUGAUUAUGACAAUACAUGAAUACCCUCAAUGAUAUAUUAGAAAGUGCAUUCAAAUUUAGGGUCUGACGUAGUCCUAAUUAUUUUGUAAGAAGGUUAAUCUUGAAAAGAAAUAACUCGCACGCUCAACCAUCAAUACAAACUCACUCUUUUAGCAAAGAUAUAGAUACGGAUAUUGACGAAUCUUUGUAAUUAACAAGGUACACUAUAUUGACCAAUAAAAGUCAAUGGUGGUAGGUAGAAAAGCUGUCAUCAAUGUGCACCAUGUUGAAGGUAACUAUAGUAUAGAUAUAAAUAUUUGUAAUUAACAAGGUACACCACGUUGGUCAGGGAUGUAAGCGAGUCGAACCACUAUCUCGCAAGUAGUCCGGUCAACGACUUGGUUUGAACUUGAUCAAAUCGAGUUCGAGCCAAGUCUCGAGCUACUCGAAUAUACUUUCGAGUCAGGAAUUUGCGGCUUCGAGCCGGAUAUAUUUAAUUAAUAUAUAUAAUUUAAAUAAUAUAUAUGUAUUAUAAUUACCUAAUGACUGUUAUGGGUAUAAUUUAUACUGAAUUUACAAGUAUACAUUUUCCGAAUCGAGUCAAAAAGUUUUUUUAGACUUGACUUGAUACGGCUUGACCUUUGAUCGAGCCUUAUCGAGUUGAGUCUCGAGUUUAAAAGAAUUUUCUUGAAUCAAGCUUCGAGUUGCGAUUUUUAGGCUCGAUCGAGCUCGAGCCGAGCUCGAAUCUAGUUACAUAUAGGUCGAGUCGAGCUCGAGUUUAGGACAAAGGAGCUAGAAACCAAAAUGAAAUGAAGGAGAUCAGUAAAUUAAUCACAAGAUGCCCUGAACUUACGAGGACGCCAAUCAGUGCAAUAAUACACCAUAUUUUAUAGACGGGAAUCUGCAAGUGGUGGAGUUGGGUAAGACUCUGCCGAUGCAAUUGUGGGGGUUCCAGGCUUCAAAAUAAUGCAAAGAUGCCAAUCAUGAGUUGGAGCCAGCUCAUUCCAGUUGCGAUAGUAAAAUGCUGUACUCUGCCAGUCAUUUGCAAUAUGAUUGUUAGUGUGAACGCACAUGAUUGGAAUGAGCAUUAGUUUAUUUAUUAUGUAGAAAAAGUGAUCUCGUUAAAUCAGCACACCUCUAACCAUUUACCUACGGUUAUAUGAGGGCAAAGUUCAAAUCACAUACAUUAAUACUAACAAUAAUGAUCUACAAUACUAAACAAGAUAUAUCACGGCGUAUGUGUUAUAAUCUUGUGUUUCGCUUUUUUCUAUUAUUACCUGAUUUUUCUUUCUUUCACCAUCCCUGCUUUUUAUCACACCAUCUCUCUAAAUAAUAAGUAAUUUAGAUAUAUCGUGAUUUUCCUGCCAUUUUUUGAGUAGGAUAGAGUAUUGUACACCAAUUUGUUAUUUAUAUGGUACUACAAGUAUUCAAAACUCAAAAGGAGACCUUAAAGGGGCAGAAAAAAAAAUGGAAGACCUCAUGACUCACGAGGUCAGUUCCGGUUUCUGAAUUAUUCUAUCAAAGGUACAGGAGAGCGGCCAAAAUUGGAAAUAUAUUUAAUUAUAAUAAAAUUAUAUAAUAUAUUUUUAUUAGCCUCUUGAGAAAGCAGGAAGGGAUGGGGAGGGGGUGGGACGAAGCUGCCUUACCUCCCACGAUAUAAAAUCAUGGAAGCUAUUAAGAAGACUGUGCACAUGUCUUCGGAACCUUCUUUCAACCGUGGGCCCCUUGGUCGGAUAAAGAUAAAAAGGAGCAUCGUUGGACUGUUGGUUCUUUAAACCAACUAGGGAAUUCACCACCACUUUUAGUGUGGGGUGGGAGUUUAAAUGUUCAAUCUUUACCUCCUAUCAAAAGUGGUCACCUAAUGUGGUUAUGCUUAAGAUUUAUGUGGGUGUACAGUGUGAUGGUAGUUUAGUUCUCAUCGAUUCCCUGUGAUCCUGUUGGGUUACCUCCCCUAGUAUAGAUUAGAUUAGGACUAGAAGUAGAUGUAAAUGUAGAUGAUAACAAGUGACAAAAAAAAAAAAAAAGGCUUUGGGUUCUUUACGAGGGGAAGGACAUUAUUGAUUUCAUUGACGAAGAAAUGAAAAACGAACUCUAUGGAACUAAUUUCUGCUGACCAAUUAGUAUUUGUAAUAUCAAAGAAAUGUGAACUGUAUUGAUUUAAGAGGGCUAUGAACAGCAUGCAAAUUUAGCAACAAAAAAAAAAGGAAUUGCAGAAAAUGGUAAGGAGUAAAUUAAAAAUAAUCAAUUUUCUUUACAAUUAAGGAUUACAAAUUUGUUGGAAUAGCUGUACCACUCAAUCAUGACGUGGCUUAUUUCUAAGCCCUUCACUUUGUCAAUUAAUUUAAUGCCUCAUUUAUAUCAUCUUUGCAGCUAUCUUUUUUAACUGCAUAGGGAAAAUUUAAGUUUCUUUUUUUUUUAACGGGGAUUGUAUUGCAGAUAUUGGUAAGUUUACUGUUGAUUGCAGCGUUAGUUAUAUAAUUAUACCUAUUACGUGUUCUAUGAUAAGGAAGCUGCAAGGUGCCUUGUGGCCUUCAUUUCAUGGUCAUCGCUUUGAAUUUUUGUUGCAGGCAUGUGCUUUGUACAACAAUUGGUGGCCAAUGCUAACAGGUACAAGAAUGUGGGAUAUUUGGCACGAUGUCGAUUACCUAUUCUUGAUAAUUGGCUUCUGCAUAUGACUGUGAUAUCUUGGAAUUUUCCUGCCAUUUUGAUAAAAUAGGAAUCUAGUUUCGUGCAACUUGCUCAAAAGAUGAGUAUCUGCACUGCUCUGCAAACUAUCCAAGAGGCCCUUUGUAGUUCAGAAUUAGUUAAUUUUGUUGCAUCAAUGCCUUCUCAAAAUGGUACAAAAACUUUCGUUAGUGUCUGACGAUUAUACGAUUGCAUUGUCUGCUUGCAGUAAUAAUGUAUGUGGUUCUACCUAUGCCCUUAAUUUUUUUGGCUGGCUCGGAUACUUCAUCUCUCUUCUCCGAAUCUCAAAGUGGGUAAGGUUUUUUUUUUUCCCUUCCGCACUGAUUCUCUGAUGAGAUGCUUUUAUUCAAGUUUAUUUAUAUGGAUUUUUUGGCCUUAUUUGGUUUUCAUGAACAAUGUGGCAACAGCUGGGCAGAUGUGACCAAAUUCUUAACUGGGGCGUCGGCUGUUGGUAGCAUAGCGAUACCAAUCAUCUUAAAGCAUGCUGGAGUAAUUGGCUGGGGAGCAAUGGCAAUGGAGCUCUCAUCCUUUUUCACAUUUGUUCUAGCAAUCGUGUGUUUCAUUGGAACGAGCGAAGAUGAUGGAUAUAGCAUCCUUUGAACGCGACUCUCUUUAAAAAUUUUAACUUUUCCAUUGUGCGGCAAACGUAGAAGUUGCCUUUUUCUUGAUUGCUGAGCAUUGCCUCUCAUUUUGUGCCUUGUAAAUACAGAGUGGUUAUUUUUUUUCAGUGAAUGAAUACCUGAGAUUAAGGUCAUAUACCGCAUCAGAUACCACACUUGCUGUCAGUGUCAAAUGUACAAGGUUGCAGAAUUUCUGAAGGAACAAGCCAUAAUAUCAAAGAUACUCCUGAAGGCGGGUAAUUUGUAACCGUGGAACACAUCAGUGUUCAUUGGGAGCCAAGACAAAGCAUGGAAAACUUUCAAUGUUUCGGUUCCACCAAGAACAUUACAAGCAAAAAGAUCCAUCUACCUUUAUCCUUAUUCUUUUUUCUGUUUCAAGCGAGUUUAGCUGAAUAUUGAGAAUGCAUAUCUUCAUGAACCAUCAAGUAACUACAAUGACACCAAGAAGAUAGCCCCAGCUACCACUACUUAAGUGCAAGUCUAGACACUACAAUUGGAAUAUGUAGUAGAGGAAUGAUGAUAAUUGAUAGCUUAUACUACACUUAUUAGCAUGAUAACAUUUUAAUCAGUUGCAGCAAAUUUGAACUAUGAACUUUGAUAGGUUGUAUUUUAGUGGGUAUUUUGGGCAUUAUUGCACAACUAAUUGAUUAAAUAUUUUCACUAUUUGGGUGGAUUCUACUGAUAUUUUGUUUUGAUGCUAAUUGCAGGAAUGGUUGCUGAAGAGUGCUUAAAUUCAACUUUUAGAAGAGUCAUCGGACGUGGGGCCCGUUUGAGAAGCUGAAGAAACCUAAUUGUAAUAGAUUUUAUUUUAAUAUAUUUCUAAGGAGUCUGGCUGCAAUUUUUGGAAGAAAGUAACAAUUUUUGGCUAUUCGGGGAUAUUAUUUAUCUCGCUCGCGCAGCUUAGGUUAGACGGUUUUUUUUUCCCUCUUUGUUUUGGUUUUUCUUUGGCUCUGGAUUGAGACAAAAACAGCCGCAGCUGUGUAGGGAGAAAGGAACAGCCACUUUUGUUGACUUUGGGGAUUCUAUGAACUAUUGAUGGUUUUUUUGACCAAAUUGAGAAGUGAAAAACAAUUGCAAUCUUCCAAUCUCUCGUAUGUUUCUUGCGUGAGAGAAGAGAGAAAGUAAAAGUGAGCCGCAAUCGUGGACUUUGGUCAUUGCUUUUCAUUCUGGCUUUGACCGAAGGAAAUUGAAGCAAUCGUAAUCCAUUGUCGCCCUUUUCUCUCUUCGGUUGACCGAAGUGAACGAAGGUCAAGUCUUCCGUUUGCUGUGAUUAAGGAAUCGAUGGCUUCUUCCAACCCUGUACACGCGGCCUGUUCAGUAAUGGGGAACUAAACCCCUAAUUCUAGUCAAGGGAACUACUGACGAUUUGGUUCAGCAAUUACUGUGAGAUCGAAUUUAUUUUAACUAUUCCCUCCAUUUAUUAAUAUUUAUAUAUUUCCGGUUUCUACUUGUUAUAGCCUUAUAUAUGAUUGAUUAGUGCGCAAUAAUUAAUUGUUUAUAUAGGCUAUUUUGCUAUAUAGGGGUAAUUGAAUCCGUAAUUGUUCGUUAUCUUUAUCUCAGUAGCAACUGGCACAAUUGGAUUUGUGUCAGGGGAAUAUUUGAUCUGGCUUGAAUGAACCCUCGUAGCGUGUUUGUUAGUCAGGAUUGGGCCUUUCUAAUUACUAAUACAAUCUAGAAAUUGAAUCCUACGGUCGUACCUAGGGUUGUUUUUGGGUUAGAGAAAUAGCUAACGGUCGUACCUUGGCUAUCGAUAAAUUAAGGAAGGGUUGGUUGUUUAGCGCGUGCGAGACAACUAGAACCAAUCUAUUAAUAAAGGUUGGAAUUAUUUUUGCAUCAAUGAUCAGUGCAUGAACCAUUUCUGAAGUAUACCCUUGGCUAGAGUUUCUCUUAGUUAUUUCUUUUAAUUAAUUAUUUUCUGCAUUUAAUUUGUUCAGUUGGCUCUUGAUACCAAAACCCCCCCCCAUUAAUCUUGAUUUGAAAAGGAACAAAUAUCUCUCCAGUCCCUGAGGAGACGACCCUGCUUACCACUGUCUACUAGUUAGGGAGUUCAGUUAAAUAAUUUAUUCAGGUAUAUCGGAUUAAGCAAACUCUUCGGGAACAGGGUGAAUCAAGUAACCCAUUGCACACCUAGAGUCCCUGCUCCAGUACUCGAAUUGAUUACUAGCUGUUUCAGGUGGUAGUUAGGAUUAAUUUAUUAUUAUUGCACAGGUUCGGCACCUGUCAAUUUUUGGCGCCGUUGCCGGGGACUGGCGUCUGAAUUAUUUGUUUCUUUUUUAAUUUAGUUUUUAUUUUGUUUUAUUAUAUUUUUCUUUUUCUUGGUACUUUUGCUAGUUUAUGCCCCGUUCUUCUCGCACAGGUAACUUGGUAUACGAUCCUGAGGUUGAGAAGGCAGCACGUAGGCGAAGGCAAGAGACCAAGAGACAAAAAGAAGGGUUCUCAUUUUCUGAAAACGAGUCAAUAGAAGACGAAUUGAGCAUGGCCAACACCCAGACAUUACGGGAGCUGGCUACCCCAGAACUGACUCAUCAGCCCUUGUGCAUCACGUUCCCAACUCUGGCUGAGAAUACCUCAUUCGAGUUGAAAUCGGGGUUGAUUCAACUCCUACCUUCGUUCCAUGGCCUUUCUGGUGAGGAACCCCACAAACAUAUCAAGGAAUUCGAAGUGGUUUGCUCUAGCAUGAAACCCCCUGCGGUCACCGAAGAGCAAAUACGACUCAGGGCUUUCCCUUUCUCUCUCAAGGAUGCAGCGAAGGAUUGGCUAUACUACCUACCUGCAGGUAGUAUCACCACGUGGGCACAGUUGAAAAAGAAAUUUCUGGAAAAAUUUUUCCCCGCAUCCCGGGUUGCGAGUCUGAGAAAGGAAAUAUGCAGUAUCAAGCAGUGCUCCGGGGAAUCAUUGUACGAUUAUUGGGAAAGGUUCAACAAGUUGUGCAAAGGAUGCCCACAGCAUCAGAUUAGCGAACAACUGUUGAUCCAGUACUUCUAUGAAGGGCUCCAGUCAACUGACAGGGGUAUUAUUGACGCUGCGAGUGGAGGAGCCCUGGCGAACAAGACACCGAGGGAAGCAUGGGACCUUAUUGAAGCCAUGGCAGAAAACUCUCAGCAGUUCGGCUUCCGUGAGAACACUCUUACCCGUAGAGUCAAUGAAGCAGAGACGUCAUCCAUCCAGCAGCAACUGUCAGAGUUGACGUCUGCUGUCAGGCAAUUGGCCAUGAGAGACACACCCCGAGCAAAGGUGUGUGGAAUCUGUACUAGCAUGGACCACUGCACGGAUUCGUGCCCCAUUCUGCAAGAGGAUGGGACGGAACAGGUAAAUAUGGCCGGAGGCGUGCCCGCGCCCCGCAGGCAGUAUGACCCGUAUUCCAACACAUACAACCCCGGUUGGAGAGACCAUCCCAAUCUCAGUUAUGGAAACAGGCAACAAGGUUCAUUCCCAAAUCGUCCACCAGGAUUCCACCAGUCUUGGCAACCAAAAUCUCAACCCUCAUCCUCCAAUUCAGGGAGCUCCUUGGAGGAUCUAGUCAAGAACCUGGCCACGACUACUACUAACCUGGUCACGACUACUACACAGCUUCAAGAGGAGAUCAGAUCAUUGGCCGUGAAAACCGAGCAGCUCCAGCAGGGCACCAAAGCUGACAAGAAGGACCAAGAUGUUCGAAUAAGUCAACUGGCAACUGCCAUCAACCGCUUGGAAUCCCACGUUUAUGGGAAACUGCCAUCGCAGCCCCAGGAAAAUCCCAAGAAUGUAAGCGCCAUGACACUGAGGAGUGGUAAGGAGUUGGAAGGGGCUAAAGUGAAAAAUUCGAAAAGCAAAAGCGAGGAGGAGAUAGAAAGGGAAAUUGAGAAGGAAGGACGCAUUCGUGAGGAUCCUAAGGUAACCUCCGCCUCUCCACUCGCUAUUAGCUCUAACUUACCCCCUUUUCCGUGCAGGUUGGAAAAGACAAAAAAGAUAGAGAAGGAAAAAGAGCUCUUGGAUGUGUUUCGAAAAGUGGAGAUCAACAUUCCCCUGUUGGAUGCAAUCAAGCAGAUACCAAAGUAUGCUAAAUUUUUGAAGGACUUGUGCACCCACAAGAGGAAGUUAAGGGGAGAUGAACGAGUGGCGGUGGGAGAAAACGUGUCAGCUAUACUCCAGAGAAAGCUCCCACCAAAAUGUGGAGACCCAGGUAUGUUCACCAUUCCCUGCAAGAUAGGAGGUACUCCAAUUAGGAAAGCAAUGUUGGAUUUAGGGGCGUCAAUUAAUGUUAUGCCUAAGACAAUUUAUACUUCUCUAAAUCUUGGCCCGUUAAAAGGCACAGGCAUUAUAAUCCAACUUGCAGACCGUACCAAUGCUUACCCAGAGGGGUUAGUUGAAGAUGUUUUGGUACAGGUCAAUGAGUUAGUUUUUCCUGCAGAUUUCUAUGUCCUAGACAUGGGGGAUGAAAGGGCACUAAAUCCAUCUCCUAUUUUAUUGGGUAGACCAUUUUUAAGCACUGCUAGGACGAAAAUAGAUGUAAAUGAGGGUACUUUGUCGAUGGAGUUUGAUGGGGAAAUUGUAAAUUUUAAUAUUUUUGAGGCGAUGAAGUACCCAGAUGAGACUAACUCUGUUUAUGCUUUAAGUGUUGUUGAGCCCCUUGUACAGGAAAUAUUUGAAUUGGAUGGGGUUGAUGCACUGGCAGUGGCAUUGGCCAAACAUCUUGAGUUGGGAGCAACUCUUGAUGUAGAAAUAAAUGAUGAGCUAUACCACGCUGUUGGAGCACUGCAUUCGCUCCCACCAAUUUCCCCAAGGUAUGAGCUUACUUCUGUUUUUGUACCAGAAACUCAAGCAAAAUUGUUGCCUUCUAUUGUGCAGGCACCUGAGUUGGAGCUCAAACCUCUCCCAAAGCAUUUGAAGUAUGCUUUUCUCGGGGACAAUGAGACACUGCCGGUCAUCAUAUCUGCACACCUGUCACCAGGGCAAGAAGACAGACUAAUUCGUCUCCUUCGGGAUCAUAAGGAGGCGAUUGGGUGGAGUGUAGCAGACAUCAAAGGUAUUAGCCCCUCCUUAUGCAUGCAUCGGAUCCGGCUUGAGGAUGAUGCAAAGCCAGUCAGACAAGGGCAACGGAGAUUGAACCCACUAAUGAUGGAAGUGGUCAAGAAGGAGAUACUUAAACUCCUAGAAGUGGGGAUCAUUUUCGCCAUCUCAGAUAGCCCCUGGGUGAGCCCGGUGCAAGUAGUCCCGAAAAAGGCGGGAGUUACAGUUGAAGAGAACCAAGGGGGUGAGAUGGUCCCGGUGAGGAAACCCACAGGAUGGCGCCAAUGCAUUGAUUACCGGCGUCUGAAUGCGGUGACGAAGAAGGACCACUUCCCUCUGCCUUUUAUUGAUCAAAUGAUAGAAAGGUUAGCUGGCCGGGUCUAUUAUUGUUUUCUUGAUGGUUUCUCUGGUUAUUUUCAGAUUGCAAUAGCACCAGAGGAUCAGGAGAAAACUACCUUCACCUGCCCCUUUGGUACAUUCGCCUACCGGAGGAUGCCUUUCGGCCUUUGCAACGCCCCAGCAACUUUCCAGAGGUGUAUGGUAAGUAUAUUCUCGGAAUAUGUAGAAAAGAUUAUUGAGGUGUUUAUGGAUGAUUUUAGUGUGUAUGGAGAUAGUUUUGAUGAAUGCCUGGAUAAUCUAGCUUUAAUUUUGAAGAGGUGCAUUGAGGCGAAUUUAGUUUUAAACUGGGAAAAGUGUCAUUUCAUGGUGGAUCAGGGCAUUGUUUUAGGGCAUGUAGUGUCGGCCAGGGGUAUAGAGGUAGAUAAGGCAAAAGUCGAUAUUAUUUCUGCUUUACCUUAUCCCGCAAGUGUGCGGGAGGUGCGCUCCUUUUUGGGUCAUGCAGGGUUCUACAGGAGAUUCAUCAAAGAUUUCUCCAAAAUUGGAGCGCCCCUGUUCAAACUGUUGCAAAAAGAUGUAGCAUAUGACUUCACCGAAGAGUGCAAGGUGGCAUUUGACAGGCUGCGGGAGUCAUUGACAUCACCGCCUGUUAUCCAACCUCCAGACUGGAGUCUCCCAUUUGAGAUAAUGUGUGACGCGAGUGACUAUGCAGUGGGAGCGGUGCUGGGGCAACGGAUUGGUAGAGCUGCACAUGCAAUCUAUUAUGCGUCGAAGGCGUUAAAUGGAGCUCACCUCAACUACUCUACAACAGAGAAAGAAUUGCUAGCUGUGGUUUUUGCAUUAGAAAAAUUUAGACCUUAUUUGUUAGGUGCAAAAAUAACAGUUUUCUCUGAUCAUGCAGCCUUGAGAUACUUGAUGACGAAGAAGGAUGCUAAACCAAGGCUCAUCAGAUGGAUCUUGCUCCUUCAGGAGUUCAACUUGGAGAUUAAGGAUAAAAGUGGGGCAGAAAAUUUAGUUGCUGAUCACUUGAGCCGCCUACUUGCUCAUAAGGAGGAGCCACCAUUGAGGGAGGCAUUUCCAGAGGAACAACUACUUGCCGUGAACGCGUCUGUACCCUGGUAUGCCGAUUUAGUAAAUUUCUUAGUGACUAAUCAAUUGCCUGGAGGGUGGCCAAAGGCUAAGAGAGACAAGUUGAAGAGUGAUGCCAAAUAUUACAUUUGGGACGACCCGUACCUGUGGAGGCAAUGUUCGGAUCAAGUGCUCAGGAGGUGUGUAAGUGCAGGUGAAUUCCACUCCAUUUUGAAUUUUUGCCAUUCAUUUGCAUGUGGAGGGCAUUUUGGGCCCAAGCGAACAGCUCGCAAAGUGUUAGAGAGUGGCUUUUAUUGGCCUACCCUGUUCAAAGAUGCUUAUUUAUUCUGUAAAUCCUGUGAUAGGUGCCAAAGGAUGGGGAAUAUUUUUCGUAGGGAUCAAAUGCUUCAAACCCCCAUGUUGUUUGUUGAAAUUUUUGAUGUUUGGGGAAUAGAUUUUAUGGGUCCUUUUCCCUCAUCUUUUGGUUUCCUAUACAUUUUACUUGCUGUGGAUUAUGUGUCUAAAUGGGUGGAAGCAAAAGCCACCCGUACUAAUGAUUCUAGAGUGGUUGCAGAUUUCUUAAAAUCUAAUAUUUUUGCCCGUUUUGGAAUGCCAAGAGCUGUGGUUAGUGAUAGAGGGACACAUUUCUGCAACAAGACUAUCACUGCCUUGUUUCGAAAAUACGGUGUACUGCACAAGGUAUCCACACCAUAUCACCCGCAGGCAAACGGUCAGGCCGAAGUGUCAAACAGGGAAAUCAAGUCGAUCUUGGAGAAGAUGGUGCGUCCGGACAGGAAGGAUUGGAGUUUAAAGCUAGAAGACGCACUAUGGGCUUAUAGAACCGCGUAUAAGACGCCAAUUGGGAUGUCUCCUUAUAGACUUGUUUUCGGUAAGGCUUGCCAUCUCCCCGUGGAGUUCGAACACAAGGCGUUUUGGGCAGUGAAGCAGUGUAAUAUGGGAUUAGAUGAAGCAGGGGCCCAAAGGAAAUUGCAGUUACAAGAGUUAGAAGAAAUACGAAAUGAGGCGUAUGAAAAUGCCACGAUCUAUAAGGAGAAGAGUAAAAUCUUUCAUGAUCAGCAGGUUUCUAGGAAAACUUUUGUAGUGGGGCAAAAAGUCCUCUUGUACCACUCAAGGCUUAAACUUUUUCCCGGUAAGUUGCGUUCUCGUUGGAUCGGUCCAUUUGUCGUUUCUAAUGUGUUCCAUUUUGGUGCAGUGGAGAUCCAAAGCUUAAAAACGGAGAAAAAGUUCGUGGUGAAUGGCCAUCGCCUAAAGCCUUAUUAUGAGGGAUUCGCUUUUGAAGAGGGAGGAGUUGUACACCUCCAAGAUCCACUUGAUUUUGCUUGAGGGUCUUGGCUAUGUCUAGCCAAAGACAUUAAAGAAAGGCGCUGUUUGGGAGGCAACCCAAGACUAUUUGUUUUAGUUUUCAUGCAUUUUUUUGAAGUUUUAGUUAAGUGUUAAGGUCAAUUAAUGGUUGGAUGUUUGGUGGCAGGGAAUUAGUGUUUAGGCGUGCCCACGCCAGGUGGUCACGCCUGAAGAAAAGGGGAUGCUCGCUCAGGUUCUGCGAACUCCAUAGUAGUUAGACGUGCCCACGCCAGGUGGUCACGUUCCAGGGGAAGAAAUUUUCGAUCAGGUUCUGCGGACUACAUGGCAGUUAGACGUGCCCACGCCAGGUGGUCACGCCAGAGGGAAGGAAUUUUCGAUCAGGAUCUGCGGACUACAUGGCAGUUAGACGUGCCCACGCCAGGUGGUCACGUUCAAGCAAAAAAAAAAAAAAAAAAAAAAAAAAAAAACUUCCGUAGCCCUACUUCUUCUUUUCUUCCUUUUUCUUUCUUUCUUCUUUCUUCUUCUUUCUUUUCUUUUUCUUUCUUCUUCUUCCUUCUUUUCUUUCUUUUCUUCUUUCCCCUCUUUUGCUUUAGCCGCCGCCGCGCCAUAGUCGGCCGCCGCAGGAGCUCACUACGGUCCGCCGCCACCCACCUCGUGCGCCGUCGCGCCCCAGCGUAGUCCAGCGCAGCCCGGAGAGCCCGCGACAGCCACGUCAGCCUUCUAUUCCGCCGCGCCAUAGCUGCCCACAGCACGCCGCACGCCAAACUCCUCGCUGAUCGCCGCCACCGCUCGACCUCCAACAGCGCACAAGAAACAAGUAGCUGUGCAAGGUGCGCAGCCAGCCGCCCACGCAGCCCAUCGCGCCCGCGGCCCAGCCGCGUCUGGCCACCAGCAGUCGCCGGGCGCAGCAGGCGGCCAGAGCACCAGCUGCCAGCCGCAGCCGCCAGUAGCUCAGUCACAGCCUGCAGUCCGCGAGAGGUUUCUGCGCGCGCAGCUUGCCGCCAAGCUUGCCACAGCCUCGCGUAGCCGCCUCUGGCCGCAUCCACUCAUGCGCAACCUGCAGCCCAGGUGCUCCAGUCCACCACCAGCCCUCCCUGCGCACGGCCCCCACACAGCCCAGCCGCAAGCGACUCAGAGGCAGUUCUCCUCACACGGACCAGGCCAAGCCCCUACACUCUCUGCGCAGCUGAGCAGGCCGAAUCCUUCCACCUCCGCGCCCUCUGCGCCAGCCGUAGCCCACUGCUAGUCAAAAACUCUGGUGACUUCUUAUUUAAUUUCCUGUGACUUAGCUGAGGCCAGAUUCUUAAUUUGUGUUUAGCAGAGGACAGAUUUUUACUUUCUUAGCUGAGGCCAGAUUGUUAAUUUUUACUUUCUUGCUUUUGGGGUGCUGUGAUGGAUUGUUCAUUAUUUGUCAAAUUUUAUGCUAGAAUUUUGCGGUGAUUUUUGCCCUGGUUGCCUGCUUGCUUGUUUUUGAUGGGGAAUUUGCUGCGUUUGUUGAAUUAAUUGGUUUUCGGGUUGAUUUGGUAGUGUUUGGGGAGUAUUUUGUUGUUCAGAGGACCAAUUAGUUUUUGGGUAAGUUUAUUGUCUGUUUUUGCACUCGUCUGUGGUUGGGAGCUGUGACUGGGAAUCACUUGCUUUGUUGGCUGUUUCUGGACAUAUUUUUGAACACCUGUACCUAGCCUUUGCCCAGCCCUUUGCUCUCAAAUGACCAAACCCAAAACUAAAGGCAAGAACAAGCCUUCCACUUCAUCUCCUCAGCCUACGGUCCCCUUAGAGGGACCUGCCCCAUCGACUGGGCCUGGAGGGCCUCGUACCCGCCUUGGACGGAAUAGGGAGGUUCAUAUCUCCUCUCCGGCCCAUUUUGGCGGUCAUUUGACCUUCACCCGGGCUGCCGACAAGGAGCGGUACGCCUCGGCUUGUACAAGGAAGAUAAUUCCUUGUAAAUACAUUCAUGGCCCUACACUUGAUAUGCUAAACCUUAGGGCUGAGGUCGCACAGCACUUGACUAACGUAGGCUGGACCCGCUAUGCUUCUAUCAAUCAACCCGCUUUUACUGAACUCACAUGGGAAUUCUAUGCUACCUUUGAAUUUAAUAUUCCUGAUGAAUUCUCUGUUACCACUCCUGAGGUAGUGAGGUUUCGAUUAAUGGGUAGAGAGUUCAACCUCUCUAUCACUGAGUUUAAUUUGGCUCUUGGGUUUAUUGAUAUUCCUUACUCCCAGAGUGAGGAGUAUAUGCACAGUGCGUGCGAAUAUAUAGAGCCAUUUUUCUCUCAUUACCUUGAUUAUUGGAGUGGUUUGUCAGUUGACGGGCAAUGCUAUGACCCUAGUCAGUCUAAGGCUUCUUAUCUUAAGAGCGCCGCCUAUCGUUAUUUACAUAGAUUCAUGGCCUAUAGUUUCUCAGGUAGGAAGGAUAGCUCGGGCACUCUGACUAAGCCCGAGUUCUUUUUCGUUUGGUGCAUGGUCACUCGGACUAGGAUCAAUUUGGGUAGCUGGUUUGCCCUCCACCUCCGAACUGUGCUAAGUAAGAAAAAUAAACCAUCAAUCUUAGGCUCCUUUAUCACUCAGUUGGCUGUCAAUCUUGGGGUUUUGGACUUAAAUAAUCAUAACUUGCAUCGUGCUUGUAUUAUGGAGCCCCUUGAUUUGGUUUGUUUGGAGAAAAUGGGUCUUGUGCGACAGGUGAAUGACGUUUUCCAGUUUGCUCCCCCGGGACCAAUCUCCGUUCCUCCGAAGCGCAGCGCUUCCAAAUCUACUGCCAAUGAGGCGGGUGGGCCUUCCACGAGUGCCCCCGGACCAUCCUCUUCGGCACCUCCACCAUCUUCCUCCGUCGAUAGCCAGCUGGCGGCCCUCCGGUUCCAGAUGCAGCACAUGGACACUCGUAUGGAUCGGAUGGAGCGUCAAAUGGGCGGGGUGGCCCAGAAUUUAGCUCAGUAUCUCCAUCACGUGGGCUUCCGCCCGCCGUUUCCUCCACAACCGUGAUUCAUUUCUGCCCUCCUCCAUUUUUUCCAGGGAAGUAUCGUCGCCCCAAUUCCUCUGAUUUGGUCUUACUUUGCUUACAUUGAGGGCAAUGUCAGGUUUAGGUGUGGGGGAGGGUUAACUAUGCUUUAGAGGUGUUUGGUUGUCUGCUUGAGUUUUUCCUUGCCUUAGUAGUAGUCUUUUCCUUGAACGAUGAUGAAUGCGAAUUGGGAUAUAAGCGUACAUAGUAAGUUCAUGCCAUGGGGUGUUCUAAUUUCCUCGAUGAUGAAUUGAUUGAUGAAUAUGCUUAACUUGACAUGCAUUUGACCCCUCAUGCGAUUUUGAGCCUAAUAUUUUUCGUUUUUGAGUGAUUAGUGCACAUGGUUUGUCAUUCUAGAACUUGCUCGGUUAUGCAUGUCAAGACCACAUUUAAAUGAGUUUAAUGCAUUGAAAUGAUAGGGCACCUAGGAAUGGGCCAUUUCUGGACUUUCUCGAAACCAGCCCUUGGAUUAUUUACUACCAUUAGGGAGCCAUGUUGAGCCUUAACCCCUGUUCUUUGCUUGAGACCCCAGCUCUUAGCCAUGAAACCUCUUUUUAGACUUUCUUUUCGGACCUUGUGUGAAGAAGUGCUUUGAUUUCAUUAUACAGAAUUUUGGAGUAUUUCUAGAGGGGCAUCGUACCUAUCUUCCAAAAAAAAAAAAAAAAAAAAAAAAAAAAAAAAAAAAAAAAAGGGAUGUGAAAAAAAAAAGAGUGCAGGAAACCAGCAAGUAAAGUUGACUUUUAGGGUGCUGGUGGGGAGUAUUGAAAAGAAAAAGCAAAAAAAAAGGGGAAGGAAAAAAAAAAAGAGAAAAAGAAAAAGAAAAAGAGGAGAAGUAGAUGAAUGAAAAAGGAGAAAAGGCGAAGGUUGUGGCAAGUGCUAAUUCACUUCACUUGUGUGAUGGUUGAGAUGCCUUUAAAUUUCAAAGGUGCAAGAAUCUAUGUAAUGAACUUCUGGGCACUUUCUUUACACUUAUGCACCCUUUUGACCCCUUUCGAUCCUACUUUUUCACCCUAGCCCCAUUACAACCUUGCAAGUCCCUUGAUUGCUGCAUUUAAAUUCAUGAGUAAGUGGUGGAGAUAUGAUAUAUGAGCAAGCGUAUGGUAGUGUCAUUCUACUGUGUUGUUUUGAGAGCCGUCUUAUAUACAUUUCAUAUACACUUGGGAGUGAAUGAGUGCAUUUUGAACUGCGAGUAGUGUUGAUUUGGUAUAUUCUGAUUUCGAUAAGGUUAUUGAGGAACCUGGAAUGCCGCUCUUGGUGUGAACUGCUGUGAUUUGCUUAGCAUCUUGAUUUUACUUCUGAGUUAAUUAUGCUUGAGGGCAAGCAUAGUUCAGGUGUGGGGGAGAUUGAUAGGUUGUAUUUUAGUGGGUAUUUUGGGCAUUAUUGCACAACUAAUUGAUUAAAUAUUUUCACUAUUUGGGUGGAUUCUACUGAUAUUUUGUUUUGAUGCUAAUUGCAGGAAUGGUUGCUGAAAAGUGCUUAAAUUCAACUUUUAGAAGAGUCAUCGGACGUGGGGCCCGUUUGAGAAGUUGAAGAAACCUAAUUGUAAUAGAUUUUAUUUUAAUAUAUUUCUAGGGAGUCUGGCUGCAAUUUUUGGAAGAAAGUAACAAUUUUUGGCUAUUCGGGGAUAUUAUUUAUCUCGCUCGCGCAGCUUAGGUUAGACGGUUUUUUUUUCCCUCUUUGUUUUGGUUUUUCUUUGGCUCUGGAUUGAGACAAAAACAGCCGCAGCUGUGUAGGGAGAAAGGAACAGCCACUUUUGUUGACUUUGGGGAUUCUAUGAACUAUUGAUGGUUUUUUUGACCAAAUUGAGAAGUGAAAAACAAUUGCAAUCUUCCAAUCUCUUGUAUGUUUCUUGCGUGAGAGAAGAGAGAAAGUAAAAGUGAGCCGCAAUCGUGGACUUUGGUCAUUGCUUUUCAUUCUGGCUUUGACCGAAGGAAAUUGAAGCAAUCGUAAUCCAUUGUCGCCCUUUUCUCUCUUCGGUUGACCGAAGUGAACGAAGGUCAAGUCUUCCGUUUGCUGUGAUUAAGGAAUCGAUGGCUUCUUCCAACCCUGUACACGCGGCCUGUUCAGUAAUGGGGAACUAAACCCCUAAUUCUAGUCAAGGGAACUACUGACGAUUUGGUUCAGCAAUUACUGUGAGAUCGAAUUUAUUUUAACUAUUCCCUCCAUUUAUUAAUAUUUAUAUAUUUCCGGUUUCUACUUGUUAUAGCCUUAUAUAUGAUUGAUUAGUGCGCAAUAAUUAAUUGUUUAUAUAGGCUAUUUUGCUAUAUAGGGGUAAUUGAAUCCGUAAUUGUUCGUUAUCUUUAUCUCAGUAGCAACUGGCACAAUUGGAUUUGUGUCAGGGGAAUAUUUGAUCUGGCUUGAAUGAACCCUCGUAGCGUGUUUGUUAGUCAGGAUUGGGCCUUUCUAAUUACUAAUGCAAUCUAGAAAUUGAAUCCUACGGUCGUACCUAGGGUUGUUUUUGGGUUAGAGAAAUAGCUAACGGUCGUACCUUGGCUAUCGAUAAAUUAAGGAAGGGUUGGUUGUUUAGCGCGUGCGAGACAACUAGAACCAAUCUAUUAAUAAAGGUUGGAAUUAUUUUUGCAUCAAUGAUCAGUGCAUGAACCAUUUCUGAAGUAUACCCUUGGCUAGAGUUUCUCUUAGUUAUUUCUUUUAAUUAAUUAUUUUCUGCAUUUAAUUUGUUCAGUUGGCUCUUGAUACCAAAACCCCCCCCAUUAAUCUUGAUUUGAAAAGGAACAAAUAUCUCUCCAGUCCCUGAGGAGACGACCCUGCUUACCACUGUCUACUAGUUAGGGAGUUCAGUUAAAUAAUUUAUUCAGGUAUAUCGGAUUAAGCAAACUCUUCGGGAACAGGGUGAAUCAAGUAACCCAUUGCACACCUAGAGUCCCUGCUCCAGUACUCGAAUUGAUUACUAGCUGUUUCAGGUGGUAGUUAGGAUUAAUUUAUUAUUAUUGCACAGGUUCGGCACCUGUCAAACUUCUAGGAGCAAAUGCUAUUUAAUCCACUUUAACCGUAACAAGCAAAACUGCUGCACUCCCACUAUUGCUUCAAUUUUAUUUGACAAACAAACCAAGCAAAUGUAAAAGCAACUUAAAAAGCAUGAAGAGUUUAGGCUCAAAUCUUUCUCUGCCCACAUAUAUUUCAACAUGACUUGAUAUAUGCUCUACAUGGUACACCAAUUCAUAUAAGCUCAUCCUUAUUGACAUAGACAUAGUUAUAUACUUACAUACACAAUACACGAACACAUACACUCCCCAUCCUCCAUCCCCCUCGCAACCCUGCCAACGCAAUCACAGACACAAACACAAAGCAGAUCUAAACUACUAGACAGAGAGUCUAUAAAAGCCCUCACACCAUCUCAUCCUUCCUUGCAACACUCUUAAGCAAAGAAAAGCCAAGUUCUUACAUUGUAGAACAAGAUAAAAGGACUCCAACAAAUCUACAGCUUCUCCACUCUGUCAAGUCCAGUUAAUAACAGGGAAAAUUUCAAGAACAGGGCAUGCUCGAACCUUAUUUGACAAAGAAAGCACAAUGUUCGGCUAUCUAUAGAAGACCUUCAUGCGUGAAAUGUAUUUUCGUGUACACAUACUGGUACAUUUUGUACAAACGUCAGUCCAAAUGCCCUUCACAUUUGGCCUAAAAACCUGAACCCUUUAUUGAUUAGGGCUUCAAGGGCGCCCUUUUCCAUAAUAAUUCUACAGCAAAUUGCAGGAAACAGAAGACAAUGUGUAUCUAUCAUCCAACAACGCAAUAACCAAUCUAUCACAACAAAUUUACUUCUUCCUCUUCCUCCUCAUGUUUUCAAGCCAAUAGUACCCAAAUGAUAGGUUGCAUUUUAGUGGGUACUUUGGGCAUUAUUACACAAUUAAUUGACAAAAUAUUUUCGUUAAUUAGGUGGAUUCUACUGAUAUUUUGUUUUGGUGCUAAUUGCAGGAAUGAUUGCUGAAAAGUGCUUAAAUUCAACUUUUAGAAGAUUCAUCGGACGUGGGGCCCGUUUGAGAAGCUGAAGAAACCUAAUUGUAAUAGAUUUUAUUUUAAUAUAUUUUAGGGAGUCUGGUUGCAAAUUUGGAGAAGUAACAAUUUUUCGGCUAUUGUGGGGAUUGUAUUUUAUCUCUCGCGCGGCUUAGGUUAAGGAGGGUUUUUUUCUUUGUUUUUGGAUGACACGGGAGAACCGCAGCUUUGCAGGAGAAACGGCAGAGACAGAGGGCCACCAUUCUUGACUUCUGUACUUUCUCUUUUCCAUCUUGUGUGGACUUUGAAAACUCAGGAUUUGGUUGACUGAAAUUGGGAAAUCAAUGAAUUGAGGAACCUCUUUUCUCUCGUGUAUCUUACUCAGCAAAUAGGAAAAGAAAAUAAGGGCCGCAAUUGUUGACUAUUAGCUUUGCUUUCCAAUUGGUUUUGACCGGCAUUGAAGUAGGGCCUCAGACCCUCGUUUGCGUUGUUCUUUUUGGAGACAAUUGGAGGCGAUAAAAUCUUGUGUUUCUUCCUCCUGGGGUUGACCGGAGUGGGAGAACCGACUUGCGUACCUUUCCCCCUCCCACACGCGCGGUUUGUCCUUCAUUAAUGGCGGGCUAAUUCGCUAAUUCUAGACAAGGGGGCAACUGAUGAAUUGGUUCAACUAAUACUGUGAGAUCUAAACUAUUGUUGAUUGUUCUCUUCAUUUAUUGAUAUUUACAUGUUCCUUGCUUUCAAUCGCUAUAGCUUUGUGUAUGAUUGGUUAGUGCGCAAUAAUUAAUUGUUCACAUAGGCUAUUUUGCUAUAUAGGGGUAAUUGAAUCCGUAAUUGUUCAUUAUCUCUAUCCCACACUACAAGAAAAUUGUUCAUCAGUGACAACACAAAGUCAUCACAGAACAUACAAAUAUCGUCACAAAUACCUUUUAUUGACGACUUUUUAAUCGUCACAAAGUCGUCACUAAAUCCCCGUGGGUAAAAGUAAACAGUGACGACAUUAGUUCUCAUUAGUGACGACUUUAAGUAGAGCAUUUUUGACAAAAGAUCAAGUCGUCAAUAAAACACUUCCAGAUUGUCGUCACUAAUGACAACUAUUUAGUGACGACCUAAAAUGUCGUCACUAAAUAGUUGUCAUUAGUGACAACAAUCCGGAAGUAUUUUAUUGACGAAUUGACCUUUUGUCAAAAAUGCUCUACUUAAGGUCGUCACUAAAAAGCACCGAAAGCCAUUGUAUAUAACUAUUUUACUGACAACAAUUGUCGUCACAAAUUUAGCUUAGAUUUAGUGACAAUCUCUGUUGUGACAAGGAGUUUUUAUUUUCUAUUUUAUGACAACUUGUUUUUGUCAUUAGAUAAUUUCUCAAUAGCUUAAUAGUCAUAAUUUGGCCUGUAAUCAUUGCUAAAUCAUUGAUUUUAAACAAACCAUACAAAUAAACAUGAACGAUUGAUAACCAAAAGUAUUUGCAUUAGAUUACAUGGUAAUAAUAUAGCAUUCUCAAAUGCCAAAUUCAAGUGUACAUUACCCAACUAAUGCCUACAAAAAUAACAUUUGUCCAAAAUAUCACUUGUACAUAAGGUACAUUUACAAAAGCAAUCACAGUUUAAGAAAUUGAAGAACAUUUAAAUGAACCACUCCAUGAGCAAAAGGCAAUUUUGUCUUCAACAUUCUUCAACCAUAACCAUAGAUAUCUUCCAAAAGCUAGUAUGAAUAGCAUUUAUCUGUCAUAAAAGAGUAAAAGAAGUAGGUAAGGGGAGGAGUACAAUAAUAAAGAACAAGUAAUGAGACUUAGAUUAUUAAGACAAAAAUUACAAUUCAUUAAGAACCUCAUAUAAUUUGGGCCCACAUAUUACAACACCAGCAAGAAGUUAGAAAUCACAGUCCAAUCUAUACAAAUACUAGGGUCUGCUUCCCACGCAAGGCGUGGGAGCUUGAGACCUGUUAGUAAGGUUCCCUCCCAUGCAAAAGCAGUAUAUAUUAGUUGAUAAGAGCAGUUAAGUAUUGAUUGAAAAUAUCCUUGGUUAACACGCAAAAGCAAUAUACAUUAUUAGUUUAUAAGAGCAGCUAUGUACUGAUACAAAAAAUGGAGUAACGGCAGUUGAUUCUGUAGUGAAUAUUUUCUCCUGAAUGAUAGCCUUUGGCUAACAUUUUCUAUUGAAUAAUAACUACAGUAGCGCGAUGCGAAGGCACGUUAAAAGGCAUAAAUCAAUAUAUCAUGAUGCAUGCUUUAUAGAGGGUUAUAGAAACCUAAAAAGCAAAGGAUAGCAAUAAAGAAUAAUUAGGUUCUGUCUUCUUUAAAAAUUGUUAAAUCAAUAUAACUAAGGCUUUUGCUAAAUUUUUACCACAUCUUGACAUCAUCUCUCUUCUAAUAUACCACAGUACAGAUUAUCCAAAUGUGAAUGUUGAAGAUCUUGCAAUUCUUCGAAACUAAUAUUUGUUGCACUUAGUAAAAUGCUACCAAAAUCCUGCAACACAGCUCUUGAAAGAGGGGAAAGAGGAGAAACAAAGUCCGCCUGAUAUUUGAAGUUAACCAGAAGUUGUAGCGUCAAAGCCCAAAGUGCCCUCAGAAAUGUUUAUGUGAUACCCAUUGAAGCAAACCAUUAUAACAGCAGGGUAAUUAAAGCAAAGUCCAUGUCCCAUGGAAUGAAUUAAAAAGAACUAAAAGAAAGACACUUACCAUGUCAUCCUUCGCAAGGAAUGCAGUUCCGAUGAAGUAUACGCAACAAAUCAAAGCAGCAGUGACAAAGAGCUGCAUAAAUAUGAUCUAGCUUUUGGAUCUGGCAUGAGUGAAACCUGAAAAGGCAACAAAUUAACUAUCAGUACCCUAGAGACAGAAAGGUAUCAUUUCCAUUUAGAGUUAAUAAGAAGGUAUCGAAUUGUAACAUCAUAUACAAUUUCUUCAGCUAUAACAAAAGUUAUCAUUGUCAACCCUCCCAAGUAAACUUCAGAGAGUCCAAAAAACCACUCUGGCUCCAAAAUUGUUAAGGCCAAUAAAAAGUUUCUGAAAUCCUCAAAGAUAAAGGGGACCAUCAAACAAGCAUUCAGAAAAUGACAAUUUUACAAUAUACUUACAGAUGUAGCAAUACGUCCCACAUUACCAAAGGCAGCAUGGCCAAUAUCCGGGUAAGUCUCGAGCCCAGGUUGACUGUCCAAACAGGAAUGCAGGAGAAUCCCAGUGUAGUAAGAAACAACAGCAAAGAUAAACAGAAUUGAGAGCCCAACCCAUCCACCUUCUUUGACAGCACAAGUAGUUGAAAGAAUUCCAACACCACAAAGAACAUUUAUGCCUGUGAAAAGUAAAUGUACAUAAUUUUUAUGUGUCUUCAUUCACCAUGAGCACAUUAGCAGCUAAAUGCAAAGGCAAAAUCAGAAUUGUCAAGGCCUUCAAACGGUUCUAGAUGUUUCAUGAUAGUUUCUGAUUUGAUAUUUUAUUUCAUUUUGCAAGGAACUGCAAGGACGAACUUCCUUACAUCAGUGAAAAGGGAAAAGGAUCAAAUGUAUAGGUAGAAUAUACAUCUACAGAUAGAAGAAAAGGAUUUAGAAUAUUAUGCAAGCCAUCAAAGUUCUCAGUGAGUGAAUAGAUUAUAGCAAAUUUAGGCUUUUCUUUUUAAUUUACAGUAAAGCGAGCAAGUUCAUAUUCCUACAUCUAGAAGUUGAAUAAGGACAGAUUACUGAAGUACGAAUCAUCAACAUUCACGUCAACAUACAAGUUAAUUAUGCAGUUCCUCUGAUAAAUGCUUCUUUAAUAUUCCUGCAUUUCUAUGUAGAUUGAUGGAUGUUCAAUCAAAUAAACCUACCAUUCACCACAGCUUGUCCAUAUGAACUCUGGCUAGGAAGAGAAACCUCAUGUGAGACCUUGGAUGAUUUCUUGUCAGCAGUUGCUUUUCUUAAGGAAGGCCUCCCUUGAAUGGAGGGCAGCAGAGAAUGUGAACUACGCCUUUCUGGUGGCCGACGUGCAUCUGCUACUGGUGGUAAUAGAGGUUUUGCGAAGAAGGGAGUACUUCAGGAGUGUAUCUUCUUGUUAAUGAAUAAGAGAUACAUGAGCUGCCUAAACAUGAUAACGUAGGCGUCCCCAGGAAGUUAAGACUUGGAGAUGGUACACUACUGUAUAAAUCGAUGGACUGCCUGAUACAAGGAUAUGAGAUACCAAGCAUUAUCAACCAGAGUUUGAACACAGUCCAAGUGAGAUGACUAAUGUAACCAUUUCUCAAAUAUAUAAUCCAGUUAUGCAAGUUUAAAACAAAUUAACAAAGAACCAUUGGAAUUGAUUCUAAAUCUUAAAAGCUAAGAGCGAAAUUAUUUGCAGCUGGUAGAAUUGCACAUGAGGGAGUGAUGGUUGUACUUUUGAUCAAACCAGUAUUUUUUAUCCUCUCCAAAAACAACUGAAAACCGAUGCAAAUAAGAAACGCUGGUACAUGAUUGGAGGAGGAGAGUGGAUCUCUGGCACUUAUUUCAAUCAAAAUAUCUAGCAGACUGUCUAAAAGUUGGUAUAGUUCUGGCCAGAUGUUAUGACACACAAGUUAUGGAAAUUGGUUCAGUCUUCCAGAAUCAGCCGUUCGAUGAAAGGUAAUAUCCAAAAUAUGGUUUCUACCAUUGAUAAAUGUAGCAAGGACAAAUACAACUCCUUCACUUCCAAAGAUGGUUCACAGGGAUUAACCACCAAUCCCUCAUGACGAAGGAAAAUCUUUUCAAUAGAGGCAGUACUCAGCAAUAUAAGUGCAUCCUACCAAGUUCCACUAAGCUGAAGAAAGAUCCAGGGAAGACAUAAAAUGCUCUGGCCUUUUGAUAACAUUACAUAGCCUACCUUAAGCCCAUAGCUAUCCUUUACUGAUGUUACUGGAUCUAUUCAAACUCAUAAACUAUUGAUAUUCAUGGCCGAAACAGAAUGAAAAUACUUGAAGAAGCUUCAAAAUAUGAAUGAUGAAAGCAUUUCAAUCCCAUUUCUAAAUAUCUCUCCUAGCCAAAAAUGAAUAGGUAAAGCUAAAUAUCUGGUACCAUAUAAAUAUAACAGCUUUCAAGAAACCAAGUGCUUCACUGCUAAAUACAGAAUCUGCACAACAAGAACAGAACAAACAUAGAGAACACCAUAGCUAGAUGUAGAAAGAAACAAAUAUAGAUAUGUGCGAUAAGAUGAUACUACCUGUAACUUUGAGGCCAAGAGGUGGUGAUAGAUUUGCUCUCCGGCCUUUCGUCCUCAUUAUCAUUAGAAUAACUGCUAGAAUCAGAAUUAUUUCCAUCUUCACUAUUUUCUUUCUCCAGUGCCUAAAAUCAUUGCCAGCUGCAAAAAAGCUAAGCUCUUGAGAAGCCUAAAAUCAGAACAAAAUCCGCUUAGCAUCAGAGGCAGCAACUAAAGUACAGAACAAAAGAGAGGGUUGCCCCUCUAGAAUUCAACACUUCUAUCUGUAACAUUAUUCAGCAAUAUAGCAGGUUGUUUACAGAAUUUGGAAUAUUAAACAUCUUUUAUUGCUAAUAACAACAAAGAAAACAAGAUUGAGGCAACAUUGGGAACAUCUUAUGUUUCACUUCUCAUGGCUAUAUACUCUCAUUCACGGAAAGAAAACAAGAUUGACCAAGAAAACCGAAAAGUAGCAUGUCGAAUUCUCUCCAGCGGUGGAUUUGCAUAUUUACCUUAUAUAUGAAGCUUCAUAUUAACAUACGAAUGAUGUUGAAAACUCAAAAACAGUGAAUAGUAUGUUAUGCUCUUUCUUGAUAAAUAGCUAGAGAAAAAAAACUAUUUUCCCAAUUGUUUUGUCAAAUAAAAUCAAAUUUCUCGACACAAGGGGACAUUGAUUCCAUAUUUGGAAAAAUAUAUGCUUUGGACUGGCCAGAGUCUCUCUCAAAUUAAAAAAACAUAAAAUCUCCUCUUUUGGUUCAAGAUUUCCGUUCGGGCAUUUUAUCAAACACUAAAUGGGCGUGAAAAACUUCAGCAUAUUGUGCUCAAUUGAGGUUAUGACUAGCCCAAAAUUUGUUAUAAACACGAGAUAAAUCAGUCCAAUCGACACCUAGAGCCUGUAUAUUCUAAAACCAUAAACAAUCAACAAGAAAAUUGUACUAACAGAGACACGGAAAACAUGCUUUGGGAGCUCAGACGUUUGUGCUUGAAUGGGAACUGAAGUUCAAAGAGGGAAGACGACUUACAGGGCUUUCUUGGUGAAAUUCGCAGGUGGCAAUGGAUAUCCGAUGGGUGGUGACGGCUCGGUGAGUUGGAAAUCUCCGCUGCUGUUGCUGCUCAAGCUAUCCACGGAAGAGGAGCAGGUGGAGAAGAAUUUGAUGAGAGUCUCGACGUCGUAGCUGUUCUUGCCCUUUUCACCGAGAACAGAAAGGUUGCUGAGGAUGAGUUUUUUUUUGGGCUUGGCGCGGACAGAGACGACGGUAAAGGGGAAGGGCUGUGGUGGAGGCGUUGGGCAGAAAAGGCUUGUAUUAGAAGUGGGGAGGAGCAGAAUGGGAAAUGAGGGGUUUUUGUGGAGGAUUCGUUUGGGGAAAUUGGGGGGAAUUUGAGGACGGAUGGUGGAAAGAGAGUGGUGGCAGCCGGCAGCCGGUUGAGGUGGUGGGAAAUUUGGCAGUGGUGAUUGGAAAAAUUUUUAUCGGAUGAUUGAAGCUGAAACCCCCAUUUCCCUUUUGUGUGUUUUUUUCGUUGCUUGUUUCCUCCAUUUUUUGCUCAGCCCGCCGCCUGGUUCCUCUUUUCCCUCUACUUUUCCUUUUUAUCCCUCGCGCCCUUCUUCUUUUUUCUUUCUUUCCCAGUUCGCCGAAGCUUUCAUGCCCAAAACCUAGCCGCCCCUCUCUGUUUUUCUCCCUCUGCUCCCUUUGCUUAGCUUUCUUUCCCCUUUUUUUUUGUGUGUCCGAAGCCUCUCCUUACUCACUUUCUCCUUUGGCCCUAAAAACUCCAUCUUUUCCUUUUUUCCUUUUUUCAUUUUUUUCCCCCAAAAAUUCCUUAAACUUACCAAGUGUCCCUAACAUAAAAGAGACACUUGUCCAAAUGCAUGCCUCCCCACUUGUCACUUUCACUCUUUUUUUUUUCUUUUCUCUUUUUUUCCUUUUUUUCUUUGUUUUCUGAAAUUUAGUAUGAAGACAAAAAAUAAAAUAAGCCAGAACAAAAAUAAAAAAAAUAAAAUAAAAAAUAAAAAAACCCUAGAAUUGAAACAAAUAAACCUAUUAAAUUAAUUAAACAAAUAAAGUUAAAAAAUCAAAAAUUUGGUGUCUACAAUGUAAUUGAAAAUAAUAAAACUCAAAUUAUAUGGUUAUAACACAGUUUCAAUAAAAAUAAUCAUUUUCCCAACAUUUGAGACCAAUCAUCAUGCUUUUUUUUUAUUUUUAAUUUGGUUUGAAGCAUAGAUUUUAUUGCUAUAGUAUUAUUCUUUAUUUUUUAGUACAAAAACACAAAUUUUCAUCAAUAUAGGUGGCAAAAUUUGUUAAUUACAUAUAAGUGAAAAUAUACUUUUAUAAUUUGCAAAUAUUUUAGCCCUGCAAUUUUUUAUAAUUGCAGCACUAAAAUACAUCAUUAAUUGAAAAUAACGAAAGUCAAAUUCUAUGGUUAUAACAGACUUUCAUUAAAAAUAAUCAAAUGCUAUUAAUAAGACAUUAUAGUUAAGUCAAAAUUAAAGAAAAUUUAGUGAUGACAUAAUGUUAUCACUAAUUUAUUCAAGAUUAUAAUGACAAGGAAAGUCGUCACUAAUUAAAUUGCUAGUUUUUAAUAUUGUCAAUUGCUAGUUUUUAAUACUUUUGUGAAAAUAUUGAUAAUGGUUGAGAAAAUUUUGUUACAUUACUGCAAGUGAUAAAUGUACUUUUGUUCUUUUUCAAACUUUUAUUUUAAUGUUUAAUUUUGUUUAAAACUAUUGUACUAGUAUAGAUUUGCAAGACAAAACUUAAGUUCUCAAUAGUUAAAAAAUUCAUUAUAGAGAAAACACAAAGUAGUAGUUGCAAAAUGUGUAUAAAUUACAGAUAUUUUAAUGUGUAUAAAUUACAGUUUAUUUUAAUGUUUAAUUUUGUUUGAAACUAUUUUACUAGUAUAGAUUUGCAAGACAUAGAUUUAUGGGUAAUUUCUUUUUUUUUUUGCUUUCACAUAUUUAAUUUAUGUUAAAUACAAAACCUACCAGUUUCCCUUUCAUAAAAAUAUUAGUGCAACACUUUUUGAAUUUUACUUACAAACAUUUAUGUAUUUAACAUAAAUUAAAUGAUUUAGAGUGAAAUGCCCAUAAAGAGCAGAAUAUUUGUUCAUGUAAUGGAAGAAACCCACAAAGAGUUGGUACUUUAUGGGCCAUUUCUUUUUUUAAAAAAAUUUAAUUUAUGUUGAAAAGAUAACCUGUCAGUUUUCGUUUUGUAAGAAAUCAGUGUAACACUUUUUGAAUUUUACUUACAAACAUUUAUAAAUUUAUCAUAAAUUAUAUGUUUGAGAGUAAAAUGCCGAAUAGAUAAUGCUCAUUUGCCCAUAAACUACACUCCCUGAAAGCUAUUUUGUUAAUUACUUUGUAGUACUUUGUUAUUCCUUUGCUAAUACUACUUGGCAUGUAGUACAAAGGAUAAAUCUGGCAUAAAUUUCUUAUUCCAUUGAUAAAAAGACCUGCCUGCCUUAUAACUAUUAUAAUGAAAGAUAUAUCUUUAGAGUUUAUAACAAAUUAUUACUUAAGUUUGAGAAAAUUAUAAAAUAUUUAUGCAUAGUUUAUCAAGAUACCAUUCGCAAUUUCCUAAUAAAAAAAUAGGGGCUAAAUUGUAAAAGUUAGGGUGCCAUAAUAGAAAUAAUAAAAUUGGUGUAUUACAUAUGGGGGUUAAAUUGCAAAAGUUAGAGUGCCAUAGUAGAAUUAAUGAAAUUGGUGAAUUACAUAUGGGGCUAAAUUACAAAAGUUAGGGAGUAAUAAUAGAAUUAAAGAAAUCGGUGUACUACAUAUGGGGCUAAAUUGUAAAAGUUAAGGUAUUAUAAUGGAAUUAAUGGAAUUUUUUACAACAUUUAGGGCUAAAUCGCAAAAGUUAGGGUGGCACAGUAGAAUUAAUGAAAGUGACUUAGAAAUAAGUACUUUAAACAGUGACGAUUAAUUCUUGUCACUAAAUCCGAAUCGGUAGAGUGACAGUGACGAUAUUAGAAGUUGUCACUAUAUAGAUCAUUUUAGUGACAACGUUUUUCAAGGUCGUCACUGAAGACUUAGUUGCUUUAAGCAAUUAUGACAACUUUCCUUGUCGUCACUAAACAACCACGUUUUGUGACAACUUUUGUCGUCACUAGAAAAUGUUGUCACUAAUGACCAUAUUUCUUGCAGUGUAGUUUGUGACGAAAAUAACGGGUCGUCACUAAACAUUUAGUUACUUUGAUGCAAUUGUGACAACUUUAGGUAUCGCGACUAAAGAAGCUCCUUUUGUGACGACUUAUUGUCAUCACUACAAAAUGUUGUCACUAAUAACUUUUUUUUUUAGUGAUCAGUGACGACAACAAAAAAUCGUCCGUAAAUAGGCCAAGCAAUAGUGAUGAUGUUCUUAAUGUCGUCACUAUUGUGUGUUCUAAACACUCCCGCACUCUUGCUAUGAGUUGGCUCCCAUUAGAGGUUUGUGACGAGUUAGAAAGUUGUCAAUAAAGGAUAUCCUUUUGUGACAACUUUUUUUCGUCACAGAGAAAAGUUGUCACUGAUGACCAAUUUUCUUGUAGUGCCAGUAGCAACUGGCAUAAUUGGAUUUGUGUCAGGGGAAUAUUUGAUCUGGCUUAAAUAAACCCUCGUAGCGUGUUUGUUAGUUAGGAUUGGACCUUUCUAAUUAUUAAUGCAACCUAGAAAUUAAAUCCUACGUUCGUACCUAGGAUUGUUUUUGGGUUAGAGAAAUAGCUAACGGUCGUACCUUAGCUAUCGAUAAAUUAAGGAAGGGUUGGUUGUUUAUCGCGUGCAUAACAACUAUAACCAAUCUAUUAAUAAAUGUUGGGAUAAUUUUUGCAUCAAUGAUCAGUGCAUGAACCAUUUCUGAAGUGCACCCUUGGCUAGAGUUUCUCUUAGUUAUUUCUUUUAAUUAAUAAUUUUCUGCAUUUAAUUUUUUUUAGUUGGCAUUUGAUACCAAAACCCCCCAUUAAUCCUGAUUUGAAAAGAAACAAAUUUCUCUCCAGUCCCUGAGGAGACGACCCUGCUUACCACUGUCUACUAGUUAGGGAAUUCAGUUAAAUAAUUAAUUCAGGUAUAUCGGAUUAAGCAAACUCUUCGGGAACAGGGUGAAUCAAGUAACCCAUUGCACACCUAGAGUCCCUGCUCCAGUACUCGAAUUGAUUACUGACUGUUUCAGGUGGUAGUUAGGAUUUAUUUAUUAUUAUUGCACAGGUUCGGCACCUGUCAAUUUUUGGCGCCGUUGCCGGGGACUGGCGUCUGAAUUAUUUAUUUCUUUUUGAAUUCAAUAUUUAUUUUAUUUUAUUUUAUUUUUAUUUUUCUUGGUAUUUUUAUUAGUUUAUGCCCCGUUCUUCUCGCACAGGUGACUUGGUAUACGAUCCUGAGGUUGAGAAGGCAGCGCGUAGGCGAAGGCAAGAGACCAAGAGACGAAAAGAAGGGCACUUAUUUUCUACAAACGAGUAAACGAGUAAACGAAUUUAGCAUGACCAACACCCAGACACUGAGGGAGCUGGCUACCCUAGACCUGACUUAUCAGCCCUUGUGCAUCACGUUCCCCACUCUGGCUGAAAAUACCUCUUUCGAGCUGAAAUCGGGGUUGAUUCAGCUCCUGCCUUCGUUCCAUGGUCUUUCUGGUGAAGAACCCUACAAACAUGUCAAGGAAUUCAAAGUGGUUUGCUCUAGCAUGAAACCUCCUGGGAUCACUGAGGAGCAAAUAAGACUGAGAGCCUUCCCCUUCUCUCUCAAGGAUGCAGCGAAGGAUUGGUUAUACUAACUGCCUGCAGGUAGUAUCACCACGUGGGCACAAUUGAAAAAGAAAUUCCUGGAGAAAUUUUUCCCCGCAUCCCGGGCUGUAAGUUUGAGGAAGGAGAUUUGCAGCAUCAAGCAGUACUCCGGGGAGUCAUUGUACGAUUUUUGGGAAAGUUUCAACAAGUUGUGCGCUAGAUGCCCACAACAUCAGAUUAGUGAACAACUGUUGAUCCAAUACUUCUAUGAGGGGCUCCAGUCAACUGACAGGAGUAUAAUUGACGCUGCGAGUGGAGGGGCCCUGGCGAACAAGACACCUAGAGAGGCAUGGGACCUGAUUGAAGCCAUAGCAGAGAACUCUCAGCAGUUCGGCUUCCGUGAGAGCAAUCCUACCCGUAGAGUAAAUGAAGCAGAGACGUCAUCCAUCCAGCAGCAACUGUCAGAGUUGACGUCUGCAGUCAGGCAAUUGGCCAUGAGAGACACACCGCGAGCAAAGGUGUGUGGAAUCUGUACUAGCAUUGACCACUGCACGGAUUCAUGCCCCAUUCUGCAAGAGGACGGGGCGGAACAGGUAAAUAUGGCCGGAGGCGUGCCCGCGCCCCGCAGGCAGUAUGACCCGUAUUCCAACACAUACAACCCCGGUUGGAGAGACCAUCCCAAUCUCAGUUAUGGGAACAGGCAACAAGGUUCAUUCCCGAAUCGUCCACCAGGAUUCCACCAGUCUUGGCAACCUAAAUCUCAACCCUCAUUCUCCAAUUCAGGAAGAUCCUUGGAGGACCUAGUCAAGAACCUGGCCACGACUACUACCAACCUGGCCACGACUACUACACAGUUUCAACAGGAGAUCAUAUCCUUGGCCGCGAAUACCGCGCAACUCCAGCAGGACACCAAAGCUGACAAGAAGGACCAAGAUGUUCGAAUUAGUCAACUGGCAACUGCCAUCAACUGCUUGGGGUCUCACGUUUAUGGGAAACUGCCAUCGCAACCCGAGGUAAAUCUCAGGAAUGUAAGUGCCAUGACGCUGAGGAGUGGCGUCAUGGCAAGGAGUUGGAAGGGCCUAAAGUGAAAAAUUCAAAAAGCAAAAGCGAGGAGGAGAUAGAAAAGGAAAUUGAGGAGGAAGGACGUGUUCGUGAGGAUCCUAAGGUAACCUCCACCUCUCCACUCACUAUUAGCUCUAACUUACCCCCUUUUCCUUGCAGGUUGGAAAAGACAAAGAAGGUAGAGAAGGAAAAAGAGCUCUUGGAUGUGUUUCGGAAAGUGGAGAUCAACAUUCCCCUGUUGGAUGCAAUCAAGCAGAUACCGAAGUAUGCUAAAUUUUUUAAGGACUUGUGCACCCACAAGAGAAAGCUAAGGGGAGAUGAACGAGUGACGGUGGGAGAGAACGUGUCAGCUAUACUCCAGAGAAAACUCCCACCAAAAUGUGGAGACCCAGGUAUGUUCACCAUUCCCUGCAAGAUAGGAGGUACUCCAAUUAGUAAAGCAAUGUUGGAUUUGGGGGCGUCAAUUAAUGUUAUGCCUAAGACGAUUUAUGCAUCUCUAAAUCUUGGCCCGUUAAAAGGCACAGGCAUUAUAAUCCAACUUACAGACCGUACCAAUGCUUACCCAGAAGGGUUAGUUGAAGAUGUUUUGGUACAGGUCAAUGAGUUAGUUUUUCCUGCAGAUUUCUAUGUUCUAGACAUGGGGGAUGAAAGGGCACUAAAUCCGUCUCCUAUUCUGUUAGGUAGGCCAUUUUUAAGCACUGCUAGGACAAAAAUAGAUGUAAAUGAGGGUACUUUGUCGAUGGAGUUUGAUGGGGAAAUUGUAAAUUUUAAUAUUUUUGAAGCGAUGAAGUACCCAGAUGAGACUAACUUUGUUUAUGCUUUAAGUGUUGUCGAGCCCCUUGUACAGGAAAUAUUUGAAUUGGAUGGGGUUGAUGCACUGACAGUGGCAUUAGCCAAACAUCUUGAGUUGGGAGCAACUCCUGAUGUAGAAUUGAGUGAUGAGUUAUACCGGGCUGUGGGAGCACUGCAUUCGCUCCCACCAAUUUCUCCUAGGUAUGAGCUUACUUCUGUUUUUGUACCAGAAACUCAGGCAAAAUUGUUGCCUUCUAUUGUGCAGGCGCCUGAGUUGGAGCUCAAGCCUCUCCCAAAGCAUUUGAAGUAUGCUUUUCUCGGGGACAAUGAGACACUGCCAGUCAUCAUAUCUGCACACCUGUCACCAGGGCAAGAAGACAGACUAAUUCGUCUUCUUCGGGAUCAUAAGGAGGCAAUUGGGUGGAGCGUAGCAGAUAUCAAGGGAAUUAGCCCCUCUUUAUGCAUGCAUCGGAUCCGGCUUGAGGAGGAUGCAAAACCAGUGAGGCAGGCGCAACGGAGAUUGAACCCACUGAUGAUGAAGUGGUGAAGAAGGAGAUACUUAAACUCCUAGAAGUGGGGAUCAUUUUCGCCAUCUCAGAUAGCCCCUGGGUGAGCCCAGUGCAAGUAGUCCCGAAAAAGGCGGGAGUAACAGUUGAAGAGAACCAAGAGGGUGAGAUGGUCCCGGUGAGGAAACCCACAGGAUGGCGCCAGUGCAUUGACUAUCGGCGUCUGAAUGCUGUGACAAAGAAGGACCACUUCCCUCUACCUUUUAUUGAUCAAAUGAUAGAGAGGUUAGCUGGCCGUGUCUAUUACUGUUUUCUUGAUGGUUUCUCUGGUUAUUUUCAAAUCGCAAUAGCACCAGAGGAUCAGGAGAAAACUACCUUCACCUGCCCCUUUGGUACUUUUGCCUAUCGGAGGAUGCCUUUCGUCCUCUGCAAUGCCCCAGCAACUUUCCAGAGGUGUAUGGUGAGUAUAUUUUCUGAGUAUGUGGAAAAGAUUAUCGAGAUGUUUAUGGACGAUUUUAGUGUAUAUGGAGAUAGUUUUGAUGAAUGCCUUGAUAAUUUAGCUUUAAUUUUGAAAAGAUGCAUUGAGGCAAAUUUAGUGUUAAAUUGGGAAAAGUGUCAUUUCAUGGUGGAUCAGGGUAUUGUUUUAGGGCAUGUAGUGUCGGCCAGAGGUAUAGAGGUAGACAAGGCAAAAGUCGAUAUUAUUUCUGCUUUACCUUACCCCGCAAGUGUGCGGGAGGUGCGCUCUUUUUUGGGUCAUGCAGGGUUCUACAGGAGAUUCAUCAAAGAUUUCUCCAAAAUUGGAGCGCCCCUGUUCAAACUGUUGCAAAAAGAUGUAGCAUAUGACUUCACCGAGGAGUGCAAGGUGGCAUUUGACAGGUUGAGGGAGUCAUUGACAUCGCCACCUGUUAUCCAACCUCCAAACUGGAGCCUCCCAUUUGAGAUAAUGUCUGACGCGAGUGAUUAUGCAGUGGGAGCGGUGCUGGGGCAACGGAUUGGCAGAGCUGCACAUGCAAUCUACUAUGCAUCGAAGGCGUUAAAUGGAGCUCAGCUCAACUACUCUACAACAGAAAAAGAAUUGCUAGCUGUGGUUUUUGCAUUAGAAAAAUUUAGACCUUAUUUGUUAGGUGCAAAAAUAACAGUUUUCUCUGAUCAUGCAGCCUUGAGAUACUUGAUGACGAAGAAGGAUGCUAAACCAAGGCUCAUCAGAUGGAUCCUGCUCCUUCAGGAGUUCAACUUGGAGAUUAAAGAUAAAAGUGGGGCAGAAAAUUUAGUUGCUGAUCACUUGAGCCGCUUGCUUGCUCAUAAGGAGGAGCCACUGAUAAGUUGUAUUUUUGCGAUUAAUUUUAUGAUUAUUUUCCUCUUUUAUUAUACCAAAUAUUGCGUUAAUUGAUGGAUUCUACUUAUAUUUGGUUAAUGGUGCUAAAUUGUAGGAAAAAGAGCAAAACGUGACAAAAAGGGGCAAUCUUCCAAUUAAUUUGAUGGUGGCACAUUCGGGAUCGAUUUCCAAGUUCGAUUCAAACUCUGGGCAGCUUUAGAGGAAGAUUUGGAAGACUUGAAUUCUAAUUACUAGUCUUAUUGUUGAAUUAGGAAACUUGAAAUACUUUCUUUUGUGGUUUAUUUUGCUAUUUAGGAAACUAGUUCUAUUAGGUAGUAUUUUUCCAUUAGGAAACAAAGAAGAGAAAGAGCCGGAUCCCGCGUGAUAAAAACUUCAACUAGCAACAAAUUCGGAUCUUCUUUUGACGGCAGAAAUAAAAGAGGACAAUUGCUUUGUUCUUAUUACUUUUUUUUUCCUGGGCUAGUUGGCCGAUUUUGGCCAGGAACAAUCUUGUAAACUUCAAAUAGCUCUUUUGCACAGCUGGAGAACUAGCUUCUCAAUUCUAGUCAAGGGGACAACUGAAGAUAUGGUUCAACAAUUACUGUGAGAUUUAAUUUAUUUUAAUUGUUUCCUUCAUUUAUUGGUAUUCAUAUGUUUCCUGCUUUUAACCGUUAUAGUUCGUGUGGAUGAUUGAUUAGUGCGCAAUAUUUAAUUAUUCACAUAGGCUAAUUUGCUAAGUAGGGGUAAUUGAAUCCGUAAUUGUUCGUUACCUCUAUCCCGGUAGCAACUGGCGUAAUUGGGUUUAUGUCAGGAAAACAUACGAUCUAACUUAAACAAACCCUCGUAGCGUGUUUGUUAGUUAGGAUUGGGCCUUUCUAAUUAUUAAUGCAAUCUAGAAAUUAAAUCCUACGGUCGUACCUAAGAUUGUUUUUGGGUUAGAGAAAUAGUUAACGGUCGUUCCUUGACUAUCGAUAAAUUAAGGAAAGGUUGGUUGUUUAUCGCGUGUAUGACAACUAUAACUGAUCUAUUAAUAAAUGUUGGGAUUAUUUCUGCAUCAAUGAUCAGUGCAUGAACCAUUUCUGAUGUGUACCCUUGGCUAGAGUUUUCCCUUAAUUAUUUCUUUGAAUUAAUUAUUUUCUGCAGUUAAUUUAUUUAGUUAGCAUUUAAUCCAAAACCCCCCAUACUUUGGACUCUAGAAGAAACGAGUUAUCCCCAGUCCCUGUGGAUUCGACCCUACUCACCGCUAUAUACAAAAUCUGUAUUUUUCUCGAGUAGGUAUUUAUUAUUGCACAGGUUCGGCACCUGUCAAUUUUUGGCGCCGUUGCCGGGGACUGGUGUCAGAUUAAUUUGUUUCUUUUUGAGUUCAUUGUGUUUUGAUUUUGAUUUUGAUUUUUUUAAUAUAGUUUAUGGCUUCUAACACUCCGUAUUUUGGUGAUAUGCUGGAUUUUGUUUUUGGGGAAGGCAAUGAGAUUGAUUGUUUUUCUAAGUUUGCAUACUUAGAGGCAAUAAACUCUAUUAAAAAAAGAAUGGCUGCUGCAACCUGUGAAAUUUGUUAUGCCAGGGAUCAUUCAACUGGUAUGUGCCCCGAAUAUCAAGAUAAUCUGAGUGUCCCAUUCAAUAAUUAUGGAGAUUUUUCACCCUGGUCUCAAACGUGGUAUAACCCUAAUCCAAACGGGUAUGAUCAAGGAUGGUGGGAUAACUCCAGUUAUGAUUAUACAACAGGGCCAAUGAAUUUUCAGCAGUAUGAGUCUCAAGAAUCAUCAUCUAUGUCAGGUAUGUCUCUUGAAGAGAUAGUUGAAUUAAUAGCUACUAACACAUAUCAAAUUCAACAGGAGACACAAGUGAGCAGGCGUAACCUAGCAGAUCAAAUGGAUCAAUUGACAUUUAGGAUAACGUCAUUGGCUUCUCGAAUGAGUGAAGAAUUGCCCUCACAAACUAUUAUCGACCAUGAGAAAUAUGAGAGUGCAAUUAUCCUGACGAAUGACAUGGUACUGCAAGAGUCUCAAGAAGAAGAAUCUAAAGAUGCAGUUGAAAAGAAAGUUGAAGCACAAGAAUUGAGACCCCAACAUCAAAUGGUUCAAGUGAAUGAAUCCAGUGAACAAUCUCCAAAUGCGGUGACAUCUCCUCCAUUCCUUGAUCAAUAUUUUCCUGACUCUUAUUCUUUAAUUCCUGUUAGUGAGAUUGGUUUUAUUAUACCAGACGAUUUUGAAUUUCAUGCCAGGAAUAAGUUAAGAGUCAUGAUGGCAAAAUAUUUCGAACCAAUAAGUGCUCGUGAUGGAGGAGUGGGUGAAGAUUUAAGAUCAUCACUUGUUUGUUUGGCGCCAUCUACUAGCCCAUGGAAGACCGUAGCUCGUGUGCUCAAGAAUUACUUUAUUUACGAGGGCUAUCAGAAUUACAUAGAAGAUGAAGCACUGAACCGAGCUACACUAUUUUAUCCUCCAUGAAUAAAUAUGUCAAUGUCUAGCCAAAGACAUUAAAGAAAGGCGCUACUUGAGAGGCAACCCAAGAUUCUUUAUUUUAGUUUUCUUAUGCUUUUUGGAAUUUUUGUUAAGUGUUAGUUGCAUUUAGUGAUUUGUUGCUUUUGUGGCAGGAAGCUGACAGUUAGCGUGCCCACGCCAGGUGGUCACGUGAUAGGGUAUUAAUUGUUAGUAAUUUUAUCGUUAAUUCUCCUCUUUAUUCUUGCCAAAUAUUGUUUUAAUUGUCAAUAUAUAUUUACAUUUGGUAUUUGGAUAUAAUUUCAGAAAAUGGAGCAGAAAAGUGCUAAAAAGGGAACAUUCUUGAGAAGAUUUCUCCACACGUGAAAGCUUCUAAAAGCUUUCCACAAUCAGCCCAAAUUGUGCAAACCAACGGAAUUGCUGAUGAAGAAUUGAAUUGAUAUGAUGAAAUCCACUAGCAAUAAGAAAUCAAAGCGGGGACCACGUAGAAAGUUGAGGAAUUGCUUUAGACAUUUGGUUCCUCUUUUGGGAGAUGUAAUUGAUUAGCUAUGGCUGGCAUUUGAUCAGGAGAUUACUUUUCCAAUUGCUCCCUACGUAGCUAGUCCCUUAAGAGACUAGUGCUCCAAUAAAAUAAGAAGGCACUAGAUUAAUGGGCUCAAGGAGAAAAGACUAUGAAAAAGCUAUGAAGACUAAAGGCUUGCCUUAUAUAUAUCGGACGAUGGCAGAAGACAUUAGACUAGUGAGUUUUAGUUUUCUCUCCAAAGAAGCUCCGUAGGUAGAAUAGGUAAUUGAUUGGUUUGUUGGAUUUUGGGUGUGAAGUUUUCUCCAGAAGUUUGUUUUAUGUUUUUUCAUUCAACUAGUUUCUUCCAUGAAACUAGUUUUAUUGCAUUAGAUUACGGAGAAUCAAAUUUUCAUUUUCAGUUACUAGCAAGAGUUAUUUAUGUCUUCGAAUUUAAUUAAAUUGCGUGGGAAUUUUCUUAUGAGGCGUGGCUAAUUUUCUCAUCUAGUCAAGGAUCAACGCGACGACGCAGUCCCAUAUAUCUGUGAGAUCUAAUUAAUUUUACGUGUUCCUUAAUUUGUUAAUAUUUGCAUGUUUUCUAUUUGAAUUUUAUGGGAUUAUUUUGUUAAUUGGAUAUCAAGGGCCCGAUGUGCAAUUUUGACUUAUUAAUCUCUUGUCAAAUUAAUCAAUUAAAUCCGUAAUUGUUUAGUUGGUUAAUAUUAGUGACAAUUAGUAUUUUUACAUACUAGGGGAACAUGCAAUCUGAUUUAAAUAACCCUCGUAGCGUGUUAUUAAUUUGGGUUAGGCUUUUCUAGUUUUUAAUGCAAUUAGGAAAUUAAUUCCUACGGUCGUACCUAGGAGUAUUUCCUGGUUAGGGGUAAUCAAUGUUCGUACCUUGGUUAUCAAUAAAUUAAGGAAAAACUGGUCGUUAGAGCUUAUCGGCGACUAUAACUAGCCUAUUAAUUAAAUUAAGUGAACCUUCUUUGCAUCAAUGAUCGGAUGAAUGGACUGUGUCUGCGUAGUUGUAUCCUUGGCUAGAAUUUAUUUAUCAUUUAUUUAAUUGCUAUUUACAAUUGUAUUAAUUAAUUAUUUAUUUUUGGUUAAUUAUUUUUAGUUAAAUUGUUUAAUUAUUUAUUUUUAAUUUCAUUUUGAUAAAAAUCCCCCGUGUCUCGAAUUUAAAAAGAAUCAAAUUUUUUCCAAUCCCUGUGGAUUCGACCCUGCUUACUACUAUACACAGAAUAUUUAUUUUUCUUAAGCAGGUAUUUAUUAUUGCACAGGCACGACACCUGUCACAACAGGCGUGCCAAAAAAUUGACAGGUGUCGUGCCUGUGCAAUAAUAAAUACAUGCUUAAGAAAAAUAAAUUUUCUGUGUAUAGUAGUAAGCAGGGUCGAAUCCACAGGGACUGGAAAAAAUUUGAUUCUUUUUAAAUUCGAGACACGGGGGAUUUUUAUCAAAAUGAAAUUAAAAAUAAAUAAUUAAACAAUUUAACUAAAAAUAAUUAACCAAAAAUAAAUAAUUAAUUAAUACAAUUGUAAAUAGCAAUUAAAUAAAUGAUAAAUAAAUUCUAGCCAAGGAUACAACUACGCAGACACAGUCCAUUCAUCCGAUCAUUGAUGCAAAGAAGGUUCACUUAAUUUAAUUAAUAGGCUAGUUAUAGUCGCCGAUAAACUCUAACGACCAGCUUUUCCUUAAUUUAUUGAUAACCAAGGUACGACCAUUGAUUAACCCUAACCAGGAAAUACUCCUACGUACGACCGUAGGAAUUAAUUUCCUAAUUGCAUUAAAAACUAGAAAAGCCUAACCCAAAUUAAUAACAUGCUACGAGGGUUAUUUAAAUCAGAUUGCAUGUUCUCCUAGUAUGUAAAAAUACUAAUUGUCACUAAUAUUAACCAACUAAACAAUUACGGAUUUAAUUGAUUAAUUUGACAAGAGAUUAAUAAGUCAAAUUGCACAUCGGGCCCUUGAUAUCCAAUUAACAAAAUAAUCCCAUGAAAAUUCAAAUAGAAAACAUGCAAAUAUUAACAAAUUAAGGAACACGUAAAAUUAAUUAGAUCUCACAGAUAUAUGGGACUGCGUCGUCGCGUUGAUCCUUGACUAGAUGAGAAAAUUAGCCACGCCUCAUAAGAAAAUUCCCACGCAAUUUAAUUAAAUUCGAAGACAUAAAUAACUCUUGCUAGUAACUGAAAAUGAAAAUUUGAUUCUCCGUAAUCUAAUGCAAUAAAACUAGUUUCAUGGAAGAAACUAGUUGAAUGAAAGAGACCGAAGAAACAUAAAACAAACUUCUGGAGAAAACUUCACACCCAAAAUCCAACAAACCAAUCAAUUACCUAUUCUACCUACGGAUAUUCUUUGGAGAGAAAACUAAAACUCACUAGUCUAAUGUCUUCUGCCAUCGUCCGAUAUAUAUAAGGCAAGCCUUUAGUCUUCAUAGCUUUUUCAUAGUCUUUUCUCCUUGAGCCCAUUAAUCUAGUGCCUUCUUAUUUUAUUGGAGCACUAGUCUCUUAAGGGACUAGCUACGUAGGGAGCAAUUGGAAAAGUAAUCACCUGAUCAAAUGCCAGCCAUAGCUAAUCAAUUACAUCUCCCAAAAGAGGAACCAAAUGUCUAAAGCAAUUCCUCAACUUUCUACGUGGUCCCCGCUUUGAUUUCUUAUUGCUAGUGGAUUUCAUCAUAUCAAUUCAAUUCUUCAUCAGCAAUUCCGUUGGUUUGCACAAUUUGGGCUGAUUGUGGAAAGCUUUUAGAAGCUUUCACGUGUGGAGAAAUCUUCUCAAGAAUGUCCCCUUUUUAGCACUUUUCUGCUCCAUUUUCUGAAAUUAUAUCCAAAUACCAAAUAUAAAUAUAUAUUGACAAUUAAAACAAUAUUUGGCAAGAAUAAAGAGGAGAAUUAACGAUAAAAUUACUAACAAUUAAUACCCUAUCAAUUCCCCCCACACUUAAAUCAUGCUUGUCCUCAAGUAUAGGAACACUAAACUCAACAAUGGCUAACUCUCAUUUCAUUUACUGCCAAGCUAUGCUUAUCCCAAAAUCAAGUUUUAGUGGCUAAGUGUCAAGACAUAUUUCUCCCGAUUAGCUCCUGAAAUCAUAGACUCGUCCAAUUCAUGGCUAACUCGUCUAAGAAAUUAAAAUAUUAAACUAGCAAAAGUUAGCAAUUGGGUCAACUGAAAAUCAAAAUCUCAACAUUGAAGAACAAGGAUCGGCAGGCCAACAUGAUCAUAAGCUUACACAUUAUUUUCUUCUCUUUUUUUUUUCUUUUUUUUUUGAUAACAAUUAAAAAAAUUUUUUUUUUUCACAAUAAAUGCUCAGUCCCAAGCUAUUCAAGUCUUUUGACGUGAACUCUGACAUUUUUAGAUGAAAGAGCCCAGUUACUCAACUUUUCACAGCUUCAGGGCUAACUACUCAUAGAUAUCGCCACUUUUUGACGCGAAAGUCGACACUUGUGGUGAAGACUCCCGGUUAUUGGGUGACGGCACUAGCGGAGUAGAGUCAUUUAUUAAUCACAAUUAAAGUACCAGAAUACCAGAUAAUUAAAGAUCAUGGCCCACGUCAUCUCCUAAAAUGGAGAACUAAGAUCAACAAUUGCCCAAUUCACACAACAAUUGCUAGUAAAAUAUUUAUAUUGCCUAAACAAUUUAACCACAAUUUGCACCAAGUCAUUAAACUCAUAAUAUUCACCAAGAUAAUAUGCUUUUACUUGCCAUCUAAACAAAAUUCAUAGGAUAAAUCACAACCAGCAAUAGAAGAGUGAGUUGCCACAUUUAUUCAUCAAGACAACAAUAAGAAAAGCAACAAUUUAAAGAAACUCCAAUCAAAUCCAAAUCCCCCCCACACUUAAAGUAUACAUUGCCCUCAAUGUAACAAAUAUAUAGAAAAAGUAAGAAGAAGGGCAACGAAACUCCCCUGAAAUCGUCAAGCCAUCGGUGGAUUAGGCAGUAAUUGAGGUUCAACACCCACAUGGUGCAUAAAUGCUGCCAAAUUCUCUGAAGUUGUUGCCAGUCAUCAGCCCCUGGGGUUGAUCUGUGUCUCACCAUUUUCUCCAAAUAUCACUCCAAUCAACAAUAGACAACCAUUUCCAACAAAUUGUAAUAACAAUUGUAAUAAAUAUUGGGGUCUUUCGCUUAGUUAAUUUAAACAACAAAAUGCACACUUCAAUCACCCACAAGUUAUACAAAUACCCCAACACUUACAGUAAAUGCAAUCAAUAAGCACUUGUGGUUCCAAACUUAGCCAAAUGUAAAAACAAUGCACCUCAAAAUCACCCCAAUCAACGUAAUAAUUGAAAUGAAAAAGAUAAAAGACUCUCACACAAGGCAACUACUUCAAUAAGCAAAUUUAAGCAUUACAAGCACCUCCUAAUUUAACAAACAAUCUCAGCAAAUUACCCACACUCGAGAAACAACUCAAAUGACCAACCCAAAGCGCUGAUAAAUCCAAACACACCAAUCAAGAUCACAAAAUAGCAGAAAUUAAAAUAGGGCCAAGUGACAAGUAACUCUCAAAUCACCUCCAACAAUUCUCGAAUAAAUGAACUGGCAUAAGAGCCGUCAAAUUUUAUCCCCACAGAUGAAAGAAAAACCUCAAGUAGUCAAAAUCCAAUCAAUGCUCAACAAUGCAAUUAACACCCGCAAACAACCUCCAUACAGAGCAACAAUCAAACUCAACGAGAUAGAGAAAAUGAAGGCGCAAAUCCCAGGAAAUAAAGAUCCAGAAAAACACUAAUUCCAAUACCUCCACCUGCCGAAAUUGGACAGGUGGUAAGAAGAGGGAGGUGGUGGUGCAAUCUGUGUGUCGUGGCAGAGAAAAGAGGCUGGUGAGGCGGACGAGCUGGGGUCGAAGUCCGUGGGCUUCAGGUGGUAGGCAGCGGCAGACAGCAGCGACUAGAGGCGUCGUGCGUAGAGGUGGUUCGUGAUGGCGGCUGAAUUUGGCGGAGCUUGGGCAGGAGGUAGUGGCGCGGCUGCUUGGUGUUGUUGGUGGAGAAUGAAGGAAGAUCUCCACGUGGCUGUGGAGCUGGUUGUGGGUAGAGAGCUGGACUGCCGUGGGUUUCAGGCAGCAGUCGGCUGCAGCUAUGGAUAGGGAGGAGGAGCUGCGCACAGCUCUGGGGUGGCGGUGAUGGAAGAAGCAGCAGGCAGCGGCGGUGCUGCUCUGGGUUGCAGGGGGUCGACGGGAGCUGGUGGCGGAAAGAAAGCGAGAAAGUGCAGAGCUAGGUGGAGAGGGCUGAGACAGCGGCGGCUGCAUGCAGAGGUGGACGCUUCAGGAUGAGCUUGAGGGCGGCGGUUAUGGAUGGUUGGCGAGAGAGAGUGAAAGAGCAGAGGUAGGUGGCAGCCUGGACAGGGUGGAGGAGCUUGAUGGGUGGUGGACAGUGGUGGCGAUGGAGGUGAGGCGCACGAAGUGGAGAAUAGAGGUUGGCGGAGUGCGCGAGGAAGAAGAAAACACGGACAGCGGGAAGAAGAAGAAAGAAAAGAAGAAGAAAGAAAGAAAGAAAGGAAAGAAAGAAAAGAAAAGGAAAGAAAGAAAGAAAAAGAAAAGAAAGAAAAGAGAAAAAGAAAGGAAAAAAAUAGUUUUUGAUCUUACAGAUUUUUUUUUUUUAAAUUCAGAAUUGAAUUGCUGAAAAACUAAAACGAAUGUUAAGAAGGAAAAUAACAGCAUUUUGAUUUUAUUUUUUUGUUUUUUUGUUUUUUUUAGUUCGUCAAACAUGGCGUGGGCAUGCCAAGAUUCCACUUCCGAAUGUUGAGAUUUUACUAACAUGACGUGGGCAUGCCAUGUUUUAGAAACAUCCUCUGACCUUGAAGUUGGAACUUGUGAGAUUAAUGCGUGCCCUCUCCGCGCGGGCAUGCCAUGAUCACCUGUCCUGAUCAUAGUAGAGAAAAUAUCAAGUUUAAGCAAUACCCAGAUGAGAAACGACAUAUUUAACGAAUUGCAUAACAAAAAUCAACAAAAUCAAAAAUUGGGUUGCCUCCCAAAAGCGCCUUUCUUUAACGUCUUUGGCCAGACGUUAAACACAACUCUUCAAUUUGGGUGUAAUCCAAUUUUCCUUGUAAUCAGUAGUCCUCCUCCGGGAUCCAAAUAGCCAUUGAGUGCAAUCUUUUUCCUUAAUUUUCUUCUCUUUUUCACCUCAUGAAUUGCUUUCAUCCCAUGAUAUUUGUUCGCAGCAAUUUUGAAUUUAUCCCUAGAAGCAAACUCAGAAAAUUCUUGCACAGAGGGAUCAAUAGCAUGAAUUGCAAACACAGAGUGAGAGUGAACAGGAUGUUUCAUUGUAUCAAAAAUAUCAAAGUGGACCAUUUCUCCAUCAAAUUCCAUGGACAAAGUACCCUUAUGAACAUCAAUUUUUGUCUGGGUUGUGCUCAAAAACGGUCUACCUAAUAACAAAGGCGAGGGAUCGGAAGAGUGAUCAUCAUCCAUGUCAAGUACAUAAAAGUCAGCUGGGAAUACCAAAUCGUUAAUCUUGACCAACACAUUCUCGACCAACCCAUCAGGGUAUGCAUUUGUUCGGUCAGCUAAUUGGAUUACUAUCUCAGUUUCUUUUAAUGGACCUAAGUUCAGAGAAGCAUACAUAGAUUUAGGCAUUACGUUGAUCGAUGCUCCUAAGUCCAGCAUGGUAUUUCUAAUCAAAGUAUUACCUAUUCUACAUGGGACAGUAAACCUACCUGGAUCCCCGCACUUCGGUGGAAGCUUCCUUUGGAGAACUGCUGACACGUUCUCUCCCACAAUGACCCUUUCAUCUCCCCUCAACCGCCUUCGAUUGACACAUAGGUCCCUCAAAAAUUUUGCAUACUUCGGCACUUGUUUGAUGGCGUCUAAUAGGGGAAUAUUGAUUUGUAUCUUGCGGAAUACCUCCAGGAUCUCUUUUUCCUUGUCUUGUUUCUUUGGUUUCUCCAACCUGCUAGGAAAGGGAGGUGGAUUAGUUUUAGUUGUAGGAAUUGGGUUCGAGGGUACCUUUGCAUUUUUGUUGUCUCUGCCCUCCUCUUCCAAUUCUUUCUCAAUCCGUUCCUCGUCCUUGUCUUUAGGAAUCACCGGUUCGGGUCCUUGAACUUCCUUGCCACUCCUUAAGGUCAUUGCGCUUACAUUCUUUGGAUUCGCCUCGGGUUGAGAUGGCAACUUUCCUUGAACUUGGGACUCCAAACGGUUGAUUGUUAUAGCCAUUUGAUUCAUUUGAUUUUGCAAUGAUUGCACCUGUCCCAGUUGAUUUCUCAUGCUUUGCAGGUCUGAAUCCGUCUUUUGUUGAUUAGCAAGUAAUUGCUUCAUCAUCUCUUCCAUGGACGGACUUGAGUUUGAAGGGGGUAGUGGUGGUGGUGGCCGAGGAUGGUACUGUUGUUGGUGUCCUUGCUGUCUAUUUGGCACAAAGUUAGACUGCCUAUUUCCUCCAUAACUAAGGUUGGGGUGAUCCCUCCAACCAGGAUUGUAGGUGUUUGAGUACGGGUCGUACUGCUUUCUUGGCGCGGGCACGUGGCCAGCCAUGUUCACCUGUUCUGCAGUUUCUUCUUGAACCAGUGGACAUAUAUCCGUAGGAUGACCCACUGCAGUGCACACCCCACACACUUUGGCUUGUGAAGCACUCCCCACAGCUAAUUGUCUUACGAAAGAUGUUAAUUCGGAGAUCUGUUGUUGGAUAGAGGACGUUUCUACCUCAUUCACCCUACGCGUCGGGAUGUCCUCUCUUGAACCAAACUGCUGUGAGUUCUCAGCCAUCCCUUCAAUCAACUCCCAUACUCCUCGAGGAGUUUUGUUCACCAACGCCCCUCCACUUGCAGCAUCGAUUAUGCUUCUGUCCCUGAAAAGCAACCCUUCAUAGAAAUAUUGAAUGAGCAGUUGCUCACUUAUCUGAUGCUGAGGGCAUUUGGUGCAUAGUUUCUUAAACCUCUCCCAGUACUCAUAGAGUGACUCGCCUGGGUGUUGUUUGAUGCCACAUAUCUCCUUCCUUAGGCUUGCAGCUCGAGAUACCGGAAAGUACUUGUCCAAGAAUUUUUUCUUCAGUUGGUCCCACGUGGUGAUACUACCAGGCGGUAGGUAGUAGAGCCAGUCUUUCGCGGAGUCCUUCAAAGAGAAGGGGAAAGCCCUCAUCUUUAUUUGCUCUUCUGUAAUUUCCGGAGGCUUCAUACUGUUGCAAACGACGUCGAACUCUUGCAAGUGCUUGUAGGGCUCCUCACCUGGUAGACCAUGGAAAGAUGGCAAGAGAUGAAUUAGACCAAAUUUUAGUUCAAAGGAAGUGUCAUCAUUUAAAUUUGGAAAAGUAAUGCACAAGGGCUGCUGAUUUAAAUCAGGAGCAGCCAACUCCCUUAAUGUUCGUGCAUUUGCCAUAGUGACUUCCUCUUGGUCUGAAUCACUCGAAUUGUCACCAGACAAAUUUGUCGGCUCAACCUCUGGAUCAAGUCCCUGAGGUGCAAUACCGUAUUGCUCUUCUCUGAGUUGCCUGGUUUUUUUCCUCGUUCUACGCGCGGUCUUCUCUACUUCAGGGUCGAAAAUUAAUUUGCCUGUACGAGAAGAACGAGGCAUAAACUAGAAAAAAAAUACCAGAAAAUUAGAACAAAAAUGAACUUAAAAAGAAACAAAUAAUUAACGCCAGUCCCCGGCAACGGCGCCAAAAAUUGGCAGGUGUCGUGCCUGUGCAAUAAUAAAUACCUGUUUAAGAAAAAUAAAUUUUCUGUGUAUAGUAGUAAGCAGGGUCGAAUCCACAGGGACUGGAAAAAAUUUGAUUCUUUUUAAAUUCGAGACACGGGGGAUUUUUAUCAAAAUGAAAUUAAAAAUAAAUAAUUAAACAAUUUAACUAAAAAUAAUUAACCAAAAAUAAAUAAUUAAUUAAUACAAUUGUAAAUAGCAAUUAAAUAAAUGAUAAAUAAAUUCUAGCCAAGGAUACAACUACGCAGACACAGUCCAUUCAUCCGAUCAUUGAUGCAAAGAAGGUUCACUUAAUUUAAUUAAUAGGCUAGUUAUAGUCGCCGAUAAACUCUAACGACCAGCUUUUCCUUAAUUUAUUGAUAACCAAGGUACGACCAUUGAUUACCCCUAACCAGGAAAUACUCCUAGGUACGACCGUACGAAUUAAUUUCCUAAUUGCAUUAAAAACUAGAAAAGCCUAACCCAAAUUAAUAACACGCUACGAGGGUUAUUUAAAUCAGAUUGCAUGUUCCCCUAGUAUGUAAAAAUACUAAUUGUCACUAAUAUUAACCAACUAAACAAUUACGGAUUUAAUUGAUUAAUUUGACAAGAGAUUAAUAAGUCAAAUUGCACAUCGGGCCCUUGAUAUCCAAUUAACAAAAUAAUCCCAUGAAAAUUCAAAUAGAAAACAUGCAAAUAUUAACAAAUUAAGGAACACGUAAAAUUAAUUAGAUCUCACAGAUAUAUGGGACUGCGUCGUCGCGUUGAUCCUUGACUAGAUGAGAAAAUUAGCCACGCCUCAUAAGAAAAUUCCCACGCAAUUUAAUUAAAUUCGAAGACAUAAAUAACUCUUGCUAGUAACUGAAAAUGAAAAUUUGAUUCUACGUAAUCUAAUGCAAUAAAACUAGUUUCAUGGAAGAAACUAGUUGAAUGAAAGAGACCGAAGAAACAUAAAACAAACUUCUGGAGAAAACUUCACACCCAAAAUCCAACAAACCAAUCAAUUACCUAUUCUACCUACGGAGCUUCUUUGGAGAGAAAACUAAAACUCACUAGUCUAAUGUUUUCUGCCAUCGUCCAAUAUAUAUAAGGCAAGCCUUUAGUCUUCAUAGCUUUUUCAUAGUCUUUUCUCCUUGAGCCCAUUAAUCUAGUGCCUUCUUAUUUUAUUGGAGCACUAGUCUCUUAAGGGACUAGCUACGUAGGGAGCAAUUGGAAAAGUAAUCUCCUGAUCAAAUGCCAGCCAUAGCUAAUCAAUUACAUCUCCCAAAAGAGGAACCAAAUGUCUAAAGCAAUUCCUCAACUUUCUACGUGGUCCCCGCUUUGAUUUCUUAUUGCUAGUGGAUUUCAUCAUAUCAAUUCAAUUCUUCAUCAGCAAUUCCGUUGGUUUGCACAAUUUGGGCUGAUUGUGGAAAGCUUUUAGAAGCUUUCACGUGUGGAGAAAUCUUCUUAAGAAUGUCCCCUUUUUAGCACUUUUCUGCUCCAUUUUCUGAAAUUAUAUCCAAAUACCAAAUAAAAAUAUAUAUUGACAAUUAAAACAAUAUUUGGCAAGAAUAAAGAGGAGAAUUAACGAUAAAAUUACUAACAAUUAAUACCCUAUCAAUUCCCCCCACACUUAAAUCAUGCUUGUCCUCAAGUAUGGGAACACUAAACUCAACAAUGGCUAACUCUCAUUUCAUUUACUGCCAAGCUAUGCUUAUCCCAAAAUCAAGUUUUAAUGGCUAAGUGUCAAGACAUAUUUCUCCCGAUUAGCUCCUGAAAUCAUAGACUCGUCCAAUUCAUGGCUAACUCGUCUAAGAAAUUAAAAUAUUAAACUAGCAAAAGUUAGCAAUUUGGUCAACUGAAAAUCAAAAUCUCAACAUUGAAGAACAAGGAUCGGUUGGUGCAAAGAAGGUUCACUUAAUUUUAUUAACAGGUUAGUUAUAGUCGCCGAUAAACUCUAACGACCAGCUUUUCCUUAAUUUAUUGAUAACCAAGGUACGACCGUUGAUUACCUCUAACCAGGAAAUACUCCUAGGUACGACCGUAGGAAUUAAUUUCCUAAUUGCAUUAAAAACUAGAAAAGCCUAACCCAAAUUAAUAACACGCUACGAGGGUUAUUUAAAUCAGAUUGCAUGUUCCCCUAGUAUGUAAAAAUACUAAUUGUCACUAAUAUUAACCAACUAAACAAUUACGGAUUUAAUUGAUUAAUUUGACAAGAGAUUAAUAAGUCAAAUUGCACAUCGGACCCUUGAUAUCAAAUUAACAAAAUAAUCCCAUGGAAAUUAAAAUAGAAAACAUGCAAAUAUUAACAAAUUAAGGAACACGUAAAAUUAAUUAGAUCUCACAGAUAUUUGGGACUGCGUCUUCGCGUUGAUCCUUGACUAGAGGAGAAAAUUAGCCACGCCUCAUAAGAAAAUUCCCACGCAAUUUAAUUAAAUUCGAAGACAUAAAUAACUCUUGCUAGUAACUGAAAAUGAAAAUUUGAUUCUCCGUAAUCUAAUGAAAUAGAACUAGUUUCAUGAAAGAAACUAGUCUAAAGGAAGAGACGGAAGAAAAAUACAAAACAAAUCAACUGAAGAGAUCUUCACACCACACAAAACAUGAAAGAACAAAAUCCUAUUUUAUGACUAAAACUACCUAUCUUCCUCUCCGUAGAGAGAAACUAAUCUAAUGUCCUCUGCCGCUCCUCUUCCAAUUCUUUCUCAAUCCGUUCCUCGUCCUUGUCUUUAGGAAUCACCGGUUCGGGUCCUUGAACUUCCUUGCCACUCCUUAAGGUCAUUGCGCUUACAUUCUUUGGAUUCGCCUCGGGUUGAGAUGGCAACUUUCCUUGAACUUGGGACUCCAAACGGUUGAUUGUUAUAGCCAUUUGAUUCAUUUGAUUUUGCAAUGAUUGCACCUGUCCCAGUUGAUUUCUCAUGCUUUGCAGGUCUGAAUCCGUCUUUUGUUGAUUAGCAAGUAAUUGCUUCAUCAUCUCUUCCAUGGACGGACUUGAGUUUGAAGGGGGUGGUGGUGGUGGUGGCCGAGGAUGGUACUGUUGUUGGUGUCCUUGCUGUCUAUUUGGCACAAAGUUAGACUGCCUAUUUCCUCCAUAACUAAGAUUGGGGUGAUCCCUCCAACCAGGAUUGUAGGUGUUUGAAUACGGGUCGUACUGCUUUCUUGGCGCGGGCGCGUGGCCAGCCAUGUUCACCUGUUAUGCAGUUUCUUCUUGAACCAGUGGACACAUUUCCGUAGGAUGACCCACUGCAGUGCACACCCCACACACUUUGGCUUGUGAAGCACUCCCCACAGCUAAUUGUCUUACGGAAGAUGUUAAUUCGGAGAUCUGUUGUUGGAUAGAGGACGUUUCUACCUCAUUCACCCUACGCGUCGGGAUGUCCUCUCUUGAACCAAACUGCUGUGAGUUCUCAGCCAUCCCUUCAAUCAACUCCCAUGCUCCUCGAGGAGUUUUGUUCACCAACGCCCCUCCACUUGCAGCAUCGAUUAUGCUUCUGUCCCUGAAAAGCAACCCUUCAUAGAAAUAUUGAAUGAGCAGUUGCUCACUUAUCUGAUGCUGAGGGCAUUUGGUGCAUAGUUUCUUAAACCUCUCCCAGUACUCAUAGAGUGACUCGCCUGGGUGUUGUUUGAUGCCACAUAUCUCCUUCCUUAGGCUUGCAGCUCGAGAUGCCGGAAAGUAUUUGUCCAAGAAUUUUUUCUUCAGUUGGUCCCACGUGGUGAUACUACCAGGCGGUAGGUAGUAGAGCCAGUCUUUCGCGGAGUCCUUCAAAGAGAAGGGGAAAGCCCUCAUCUUUAUUUGCUCUUCAGUAAUUCCCGGAGGCUUCAUACUGUUGCAAACGACGUCAAACUCUUGCAAGUGCUUGUAGGGCUCCUCACCUGGUAAACCAUGAAAAGAUGGCAAGAGAUGAAUUAGACCAGAUUUUAGUUCAAAGGGAGUGUCAUCAUUUAAAUGUGGAAAAGUAAUGCACAAGGGCUGCUGAUUUAAAUCAGGAGCAGCCAACUCCCUUAGUGUUCGUGCAUUUGCCAUAGUGACUUCCUCUUGGUCUGAAUCACUUGAAUUGUCACCAGACAAAUUUGUCGGCUCAACCUCUGGAUCAAGUUCCUGAGGUGCAAUAUCGUAUUGCUCUUCCCUGAGCCGCCUGGUUUCUUUCCUCGUUCUACGCGCGGUCUUCUCUACUUCAGGGUCGAAAAUUAAUUCGCCUGUACGAGAAGAGCGAGGCAUAAACUAGAAAAAAAAUACCAGAAAAUUAGAACAAAAAUGAACUUAAAAAGAAACAAAUAAUUAACGCCAGUCCCCGGCAACGGCGCCAAAAAUUAACAGGUGUCGUGCCUGUGCAAUAAUAAAUACCUGCUUAAGAAAAAUAAAUUUUCUGUGUAUAGUAGUAAGCAGGGUCGAAUCCACAGGGACUGGGAAAAAUUUGAUUCUUUUUAAAUUCGAGACACAGGGGAUUUUUAUCAGAUAAAAAUAAAAAUAAAUAAUUAAACAAUUUAACUAAAAAUAAUUAAACAAUUUAACCAAAAAUAAAUAAUUAAUGAAUACAAUUGUAAAUAGCAAUUAAAUAAAUGAUAAAUAAAUUCUAGCCAAGGAUACGACUACGCAGACACAGUCCAUUCAUCCGAUCAUUGAUGCAAAGAAGGUUCACUUAAUUUAAUUAAUAGGCUAGUUAUAGUCGCCGAUAAGCUCUAACGACCAGGUUUUCCUUAAUUUAUUGAUAACCAAGGUACGACCAUUGAUUACCCCUAACCAGGAAAUACUCCUAGGUACGACCGUACGAAUUAAUUUCCUAAUUGCAUUAAAAACUAGAAAAGCCUAACCCAAAUUAAUAACACGCUACGAGGGUUAUUUAAAUCAGAUUGCAUGUUCCCCUAGUAUGUAAAAAUACUAAUUGUCACUAAUAUUAACCAACUAAACAAUUACGGAUUUAAUUGAUUAAUUUGACAAGAGAUUAAUAAGUCAAAUUGCACAUCGGGCGGAAGUAUCGAACCGAGAGAUCAAAUCAAUUCUAGAAAAGAUGGUCCGACCCGAUAGGAAGGAUUGGAGUGUGAGACUAGAGGAUGCACUAUGGGCAUAUAGGACGGCAUACAAGACACCCAUUGGCAUGUCCCCUUACCGAUUGGUAUUUGGAAAGCCAUGUCAUCUCCCGGUAGAGUUUGAGCAUAGAGCGUUUUGGGCGGUCAAGCAAUGCAAUAUGGAUAUCGAGGAGGGCGGAAUUCAAAGGAAGUUGCAAUUACAAGAGUUGGAAGAAAUCCGAAAUGAAGCAUACGAGAAUGCAAUGAUCUAUAAAGAGAAGAAUCGGAUCUUUCAUGACCAACAGAUCUCUAGGAAGACAUUCGUCUGCGGGCAAAAAGUUUUACUAUACCACUCCAAAUUGAAGUUAUUUCCAGGUAAGCUACGUUCUCGUUGGAUUGGUCCCUUUGUUGUAACUAAUGUCUUUGAUUAUGGUGCAGUGGAGAUCCAGAGUCUGAAGACGGAGAAGAAAUUUGUGGUGAAUGGUCAUCGUCUCAAGCCUUAUUAUGAUGAGGCUCCAGUUGAGCGAGUAGAGAUGACGCAUUUGGAGGACCCAAUUUGCUUGGUUUAAGCAAAUUAUGGGCUAUGUCUAGCCAAAGACAUUAAAGAAAGGCGCUAGUUUGGGAGGCAACCCAAAUAUUAGUUUUGUUAUUUCUAGUUGUUUUGUUCUUUCUAGUUGGUUCUUUUGCAUUGGGUCAUUUACUCGUUGGGUAGUAUCAGUACUCAUAUUUCCUUUACUGAAAUCAGGAAGUGAGAUCUUGGCGUGCCCACGCGGCGUUGUGUCUCCUGAGGUCAGUGGAUGUUUUAUAAUCUUGGCAUGCCCACGCGGUAUUUGACGACCCAAAAAAAAAAAAAAAACAAUAAGGACAAACUUUCUACGUGGUCCCCGUUAGAUAAUGAAAGAAAACAUCAUCCCAAUUAAUUCCAGCACAAUCAUCAAUUCCUCUGCAAUUAUCAAAACGGAGGAGUCCACUAUAAUCAUCAAUUCCAGUACAAAUACACCCGUGAAACCUAGCUUGUAUUUUCUUUAGAAACUUCCCACGUGUGGAGUAUUUGUUGUAAGAAAAUCUCUCUUUUCUGCUCUACUUCCUGAAAUUGAGUCCAGAUACCAAAUAUAAGUAUAUGUUAACAAUUAAAAUAAUAUUUGGCAUGGAAACAGGGAAAAAUUAACAAUAAAAUUGCUAACAAUUAAUACUCUGCGGACUCUAUAGCAGUUAAACGUGCCCACGCCAGGUGGUCAUGCCUAAGGGAAAGAAAAUUUCGUUCAGGUUCUGCGGACUCUAUAGCAGUUAGGCGUGCCCACGCCUAAGCCAGGGGUUCCUUGAGUUAAAAUAAAAAAAAAAAAUUUCAAAGGACCCGCAGCCCUACACUUUCUUUCUUUCUGUCUUUUUCUCCUUCUUUCUUCUUCCUUUUCUUUCUUUUUCUCCUACUUUUUCCUGCUGUCCGCCGCAGCACCUCGCCUCAGGUCCACCGCCUGCGCUCCACGCCAUUUCGCGCGCAAGCUCCGCCACCAACUCUCGCACGUCCUCUCCCUCCUCUGCGCCCAAGCUCAGCUCCAGCUCUCAGCAGCCCAGCUUGUGGAGCACAGCAAACCGAGCGCGCAGCUCCACCAGUUGCGAGCAAUCUUCAAGCCCGCCGCACGCAGCAGGCGGCCAGAGCACCAGCGACCAGCAGCCCAGGCGCGCGCUCAACCAGGGGCGCAGCAGUGCGCUUUUCGUCUCCGCGCAGUCAAGCCCAGGCGCGAGGGACCCAGCGGCGAGCGACCCCAAGGCGCCUGCCCAAGCGCGUGCGACGCACGCGCGACGCCUUCCUUCACUCCAAUGCCCGCCCCUGCUCUCUUCGCUGUCAUCCACUGCCUACUCCAAACCUCUGGUGAAUUCUUUCUUUAUUUUUCAGUCAAUAAGUAGCUGAGGCCAGAUUACUAGUUCUUUAUUAACUGAUGCCAGAUUUUAAUUUCUUAGCUGAGGCCAGAUUUUUGAUUUGCUAGUUGAGGACAGAAAAUUUGUGCUUGUUUGGGUGCUGUGGCAUAUCUGUGGAUUGAUUGUUGAUUAUUUGGUUAACGUUGUGCCCAACCAGUGAUAUUUGGGGAAAGUUUUUACUCUAGUUGUCUGUUUAAUUAAUUCUUGGGGGUGUGUUCAUCGGCCGUUUCUGCACUUGUCUGUGAUUGGAAGCUGUAUUUAGUUGUCAUUUGCUUUGUUGGCUGUUUGUUGACCUCUUUGGAAUCCCAUUUCCUUGCCUCCACCUUGCCCUCUGAUUUCCAAUGACUAAACCAAAAAAAUAAGGGCAAGAACAAAUGGACACUCGAAUGGAUCGGAUGGAGCGUCAAAUGGGUGGGAUGGCCCAGAAUUUAGCACAGUAUUUCCAUCACGUGGGUUUCCGCCCGCCUUUCCCUCCACAGCCGUAGUUCAGUUCUGCCCUCCUCCGUUUUAAGGGAAGUUUCGUUGCUCCAAUAUCUCUGUUUUGCUCUUUCUUUGCUUACAUUGAGGGCAAUGCAAGAUUUAGGUGUGAGGGGAAGUAGUAUAUUGGCAUUUUAUUGAAAAGUGCAAGUGUAGGCAUUUUUGUUGGAAUUUUUGUUUGACUUUGUCGAAUUUUGUCCAAUUUUUGCCUAUCUUUGUGCUUAUUUGUGAUUAUUCCUGAUAAACGAUGGUUAGAUGUCUCAAAUUUUCCUAUUGCUAAAAUUUUACACUUUAAGGUGUUGAGUAUGACAUGGUUGAUUUUAAGGGUAUCUCUUUGGUGAAUAUUUGAGGUUUUGUGACUUUUGCACUUUUUGGUUAACUUUUCUAAGUAUUGUAAAUAUUUGUCUAGCAUUUUUUGUGCAAAUUGGUUCAGCUAUUAAUCUUAGUUCUCCAUGUUUGAGAAAUGAAGCGGGUUUGUGUGGUAUUUAAUUUUGUUUUUGGUGCUUAUUUAUGAAUAGUAUUAGGCUAUACUCCGCUAGUAUCAUUGCCUAGUAACCGGGAGUCUUCACCACAAAUGUCGACUUUCGCGUCAAAACGCGAUGAUAGCUAUGAGUAUGUGGUUUUUAAGCGAUGAUGGCUGAGUAACCGGGCUCCUUCAUAUGGCCAAUGUCGGAGUUCGUGUCAAAACGCUUGAAUGGCUAAAAACUAAGCGUUCCCCCUAAAAAAUAUCAUCAUUCAUGUGUGGGGAUAUUCUAGAAAAAAAUAUGUGCUAAUAGUGAAAAAUAUGGAAGUGUGUGAAUGAGUUGUUAGCCCGCUGAUUCAUGAAUUUUAAUAUUGAGAUUUUGCUUAAUAGUCGAACCAUUUGCUUAUGGAUGCUGGUUAAGUAUUUUAUAUUCUUAGAUUAGUUAGUCAUAAAUUGAAAGAGUCCUUGAUCUUGAAAGCUAAUUGGAGGGAUAUUCCUUGCAAAUUGCCACUAAUACUUGACAUGUAUUUUAAUUGUAUUUUGGCAAUAGACGAUUUGAGCAAUACCCAUUGUUUGAAUUCGAUUGCUUGAUUUGUUGUUCUCAUGCUUGAGGACAAGCAUGGUUUAGGUGUGGGGGAAAUUGAUAAGUUGUAUUUUUGCGAUUAAUUCUAUGAUUAUUUUCCUCUUUUAUUAUACCAAAUAUUGCGUUAAUUGAUGGAUUCUACUUAUAUUUGGUUAAUGGUGCUAAAUUGUAGGAAAAAGAGCAAAACGUGACAAAAAGGGGCAAUCUUCCAAUUAAUUUGAUGGUGGCACAUUCGGGAUCGAUUUCCAAGUUCGAUUCAAACUCUGGGCAGCUUUAGAGGAAGAUUUGGAAGACUUGAAUUCUAAUUACUAGUCUUAUUGUUGAAUUAGGAAACUUGAAAUACUUUCUUUUGUGGUUUAUUUUGCUAUUUAGGAAACUAGUUCUAUUAGGUAGUAUUUUUCCAUUAGGAAACAAAGAAGAGAAAGAGCCGGAUCCCGCGUGAUAAAAACUUCAACUAGCAACAAAUUCGGAUCUUCUUUUGACGGCAGAAAUAAAAGAGGACAAUUGCUUUGUUCUUAUUACUUUUUUUUUCCUGGGCUAGUUGGCCGAUUUUGGCCAGGAACAAUCUUGUAAACUUCAAAUAGCUCUUUUGCACAGCUGGAGAACUAGCUUCUCAAUUCUAGUCAAGGGGACAACUGAAGAUAUGGUUCAACAAUUACUGUGAGAUUUAAUUUAUUUUAAUUGUUUCCUUCAUUUAUUGGUAUUCAUAUGUUUCCUGCUUUUAACCGUUAUAGUUCGUGUGGAUGAUUGAUUAGUGCGCAAUAUUUAAUUAUUCACAUAGGCUAAUUUGCUAAGUAGGGGUAAUUGAAUCCGUAAUUGUUCGUUACCUCUAUCCCGGUAGCAACUGGCGUAAUUGGGUUUAUGUCAGGAAAACAUACGAUCUAACUUAAACAAACCCUCGUAGCGUGUUUGUUAGUUAGGAUUGGGCCUUUCUAAUUAUUAAUGCAAUCUAGAAAUUAAAUCCUACGGUCGUACCUAAGAUUGUUUUUGGGUUAGAGAAAUAGUUAACGGUCGUUCCUUGACUAUCGAUAAAUUAAGGAAAGGUUGGUUGUUUAUCGCGUGUAUGACAACUAUAACUGAUCUAUUAAUAAAUGUUGGGAUUAUUUCUGCAUCAAUGAUCAGUGCAUGAACCAUUUCUGAUGUGUACCCUUGGCUAGAGUUUUCCCUUAAUUAUUUCUUUGAAUUAAUUAUUUUCUGCAGUUAAUUUAUUUAGUUAGCAUUUAAUCCAAAACCCCCCAUACUUUGGACUCUAGAAGAAACGAGUUAUCCCCAGUCCCUGUGGAUUCGACCCUACUCACCGCUAUAUACAAAAUCUGUAUUUUUCUCGAGUAGGUUUUUAUUAUUGCACAGGUAUUUUUAUUAUUGCUCAUAAGGAGGAGCCACCAUUGAGGGAGGCAUUUCCAGAGGAACAACUACUUGUUGUGAACGCGUCUGUAUCCUGGUAUGCCGAUUUAGUAAAUUUCUUAGUGACUAAUCAAUUGCCUGCAGGGUGGCCAAAGGCUAAGAGAGAUAAGUUGAAAAGUGAUGCUAAAUAUUACAUUUGGGACGACCCGUACCUUUGGAGACAAUGUUCGGAUCAAGUGCUCAGGAGGUGUGUAAGUGCAGGUGAAUUUCACUCCAUUUUAAAUUUCUGUCAUUCGUUUGCAUGUGAAGGGCAUUUUGGCCCCAAACGAACAGCUCGCAAGGUGUUAGAGAGUGGUUUUUAUUGGCCUACCCCGUUCAAAGAUGCUUAUUUAUUCUGUAAAUCCUGUGAUAGGUGUCAAAGGGUGGGGAAUAUUUUUCGUAGGGACCAAAUGCUUCAAACUCCCAUGUUGUUUGUUGAAAUUUUUGAUGUUUGGAGAAUAGAUUUUAUGGGUCCUUUUCCCUCAUCUUUUGGUUUCCUGUACAUUUUACUUGCUGUAGAUUAUGUCUCUAAAUGGGUGGAAGCCAAAGCCACCCGUACUAAUGAUUCUAGAGUGGUCGCAGAGUUUUUAAAGUCGAAUAUUUUUGUCCGCUUUGGAAUGCCAAGAGCUGUGGUUAGUGAUAGAGGGACACAUUUCUGCAACAAGACUAUCACGGCCUUGUUUCGAAAAUACGGUGUACUGCACAAGAUAUCCACACCGUAUCACCCGCAGGCGAACGGUCAGGCCGAAGUGUCGAACAGGGAAGUCAAGUCGAUCUUGGAGAAGAUGGUGCGUCCGGAUAGGAAGGAUUGGAGUUUAAAGCUAGAAAACGCACUAUGGGCGUAUAGAACCGCGUAUAAGACGCCAAUUGGGAUGUCUCUUUAUAGACUUGUUUUCGGUAAGACUUGCCAUCUCCCCGAGGAGUUCGAACACAAGGCGUUUUGGGCAGUGAAGCAGUGUAACAUGGGAUUAGAUGAAGCAGGGGUCCAAAGGAAAUUGCAGCUACAAGAGUUAGAGGAAAUAAGAAAUGAAGCGUAUGAGAAUGCCACGAUCUAUAAAGAAAAGAGUAAAAUCUUUCAUGAUCAGCAGGUUUCUAGGAAAACUUUUGUAGUGGGGCAAAAGGUCCUCUUGUAUCACUCAAGGCUUAAACUUUUUCCCGGUAAGUUGCGUUCUCGUUGGAUUGGUCCAUUUGUCGUUUCUAAUAUGUUCCAUUAUGGUGCAGUGGAGAUCCAAAGUUUAAAAACGGAGAAAAAGUUCGUGGUGAAUGGCCAUCGUCUCAAACCUUAUUAUGAGGGUUUCUAUGUUGAAGAAAUAGAAGUUGAACACCUCCAAGAUCCACUUUAUCAUGCUUGAGGGUUCUGGCCAUGUCUAGCCAAAGACAGUAAAGAAAGGCGCUACUUGGGAGGCAACCCAAAACUAUUUAUUUUAGUUUUCAUGCAUUUUUGAAGUUUUAGUUAUGUAUUAGUGUCAAUUGAUGGUUUGAUGUUUUGUGGCAGGAGAUUAGUGGUUAGGCGUGCCCACGCCAGGUGGUCACGCCUGAGGAAAAGGAAUUUUCGGUCAGGUUCUGCGAACUCCAUAGUAGUUAGACGUGCCCACGCCAGGUGGUCACGCCUGAGGAAAAGGAAUUUUCGGUCAGGUUCUGCGAACUCCAUAGUAGUUAGACGUGCCCACGCCAGGUGGUCACGCCUGACGGAGGAAAUUUUCGAUCAGGUUCUGCAGACUUUAUAGCAGUUAGACGUGCCCACGCCAGGUGGUCACGUUCGAGGGGAAGAAAUUUUCGAUCAGGUUCUGCAGACUCUAUGGCAGUUGAACGUGUCCACGCUAGGGGGUUACGUUAAAAAAAAAAAAAAAAAACUUCCGUAGCCCUACUUCUUCUUUUCUUCCUUUUUUCUUUCUUUUUUCUUUCUUCUUCCUUUUCUUUCUUUUUUUCUUCUUCUUUUUCUUCCUUCUUUUCUCCUUGUCCGCCGCCGCCGCGCCGCCAUCGCGCCUGCCGCCAAGCGCAGCACCCAGCGCGCCUGCACCACCUGCGCGCCGCCAACACCAUCGCGUCUCGCCGAGCGCCAGCAGCAGCAGCUAGGCGCGCAGCUUUUGCGCGCCGCCGUGCGCGCAGACCACCAGUCGCGCGCCUCCAUCUGCGAGACUCAGCUACAGCAACGCCACAGCUUUCCCCCUUUGCGCGACCUCCACCCCGCAGCAGCAGCAGCAGACCAGGCCAGGCCCAGCAGCAAGCACACAGCAUCGAGCGCGCAGUCGGACCCAAGCUCUGUAUGCGCGCGCAGACCGCGCGCGCCUGCCCUCGCAAGCAGCCAGCCCACGCGAGCCAGCCCAGCCCAGCCCGCUGCCUACUCCAACACCUCUGGUGAUGUCUUCCUUUAAUUUUCUGUUAUCAAGUAGCUGAGGCCAGAUUACUAUUUUGUUAUUAGCUGAUGCCAGAAUUUUAAUUUCUUAGCUGAGACCAGAUUUCUUUUAAUUUGUUAGCUGAGGACAGAGAUUUUGUGCUAUUUGGGUGUUGUGAUAUAUCUGGGGUUGAUUAUGGUCUAUUUGUGAAAUUUUGUGCUCAACCGGAGAUAUUUUGGAAAAGUUUUUACUAUGGUUGCUUAUUUCAUUAGUUUUUGGGGGAAUUUUGCUGCGUUUGUCUAAUUAAGUGAUUUUUGGGUUGACUUGGUAAUGUUUGGGGAGUAGUCUGCUGUUCACAUGUUUAAUUAGUUUUUGGGUGCAGUUUUUAUUGUUUAUCUACCUGAUUGAUUUUUGGGCUGUUUGGUUGCUAUUUGUUCAAUUGUUGGUGCUUGGAGCUGUUUUCAGGGACCCUUUGCUUUGUUGAUUAACCACCGCUCCAUUCUACCCAAUUUCACCGUGUCCGUGCCCUCUUUUCCAAUCCCCAAUGACCAAACCCAAAACUAAAGGCAAGAACAAGCCUUCCACUUCCACCCCUCAGCCUACGGUCCCCUUAGAAGGACCUGCCCCAUCGACUGGGCCGGGAGGACCCCGGACCCGUCUUAGACGGAACAGGGAGGUUCAUAUCACCUCUCCGGCCCACUUUGGCGGCAAUUUGACCUUCACCCGGGCUGCCGACAAGGAGCGGUAUGCCUCAGCUUGUACAAGGAAGAUAAUUCCUUGUAAAUACAUCCAUGACCCUACACUUGAUUUGCUAAACCUGAGGGACGAGGUCACGCAGCACUUGACUAAUGUAGGUUGGACCCGCUAUCCUUCUAUCAAUCUACCUGCUUUUACUGAACUCACGUGGAAAUUCUAUGCUACCUUUGAAUUUAAUAUCCCUGAUGAAUUCUCCGUUACCACUCCUGGGGUUGUGAGGUUUCGAUUAAUGGGUAGAGAGUUCAACCAAUCUAUCACUGAGUUUAAUUUUUUUCUUGGGUUUAUUGAUAUUCCUUACUCUCAGAGUGAGGAGUAUAUGCACAAUGCGUGCGAAUACACGGAGCCAUUUUUCUCUCAUUACCUUGAUUAUUGGAGUGGUUUGUCAGUUGACCAACAAUGCUAUGACCCCAGUCAGUCUAAGGCUUCUUAUCUUAAGAGCGCCGCCUACCGCUAUUUACAUAGAUUCAUGGCCUAUAGUUUCUCAGGUAGGAAGGAUAGCUCGGGUACUCUGACUAAACCCGAGUUCUUUUUCGUUUGGUGCAUGGUCACUCGGACUAGGGUCAAUUUGGGUAGCUGGUUUGCCCUCCACCUCCGAACUGUGCUAAGUAAGAAAAAUAAGCCAUUAAUCUUAGGCUCCUUUAUCACUCAGUUAGUUGUAAACCUUGGGGUUUUGGACUUGAAUAAUCAUAACUUACAUCGUGCUUGUAUUAUGGAGCCCCUUGAUUUGGUUUGUUUAGAGAAAAUGGGUCUUGUGAGACAGGUGAAUGGCGUUUUCCAGUUUGCUCUCCCGGGGCCAAUCUCCGUUCCUCCGAAGCGCAAAGCUUCUAAAUCCACUGCCCCGGAGGCUGGUGGUCCGUCCACGGAUGCCCCCGGCCCAUCCUUUUCGGCCCCUCCGCCAUCUUCCUCCGUAGAUAGCCAGCUAGCGGCCCUCCGGUUCCAGAUGCAGCACAUGGACACUCGUAUGGAUCGGAUGGAGCGUCAAAUGGGCGGGAUGGCCCAGAAUAUAGCGCAGUAUCUCCAUCACGUGGGCUUCCGCCCGCCUUUUCCCCCACAACCAUGAUUCAUUUCUGCCCUCCUCCGUUUUCCAGGGAAGUGUCGUUGCCCGGUACCUUUGUUUUGAUCUUUCUUUGCUUACAUUGAGGGCAACGUAAGGUCUAGGUGUGGGGGAGGGUUAACUAUGCUUUGGUUGUGUUUUUAGUUGUCUGAUUAAAUUUUUCCCUUGCCUUAGUAGUUCAUUUCUUUAAACUGUGAUGAAUGCAAUUGAGAUAUGAGUGUACGUAGCAAAUUCAUGCCAUGGGGUGUUCUAUUUUCCUCGAUGAUGAAUUGAUUGAUGAAUAUGCUGAACUUGACAUAAAUUUGACCACUCGUGCGACUUUUGAGCCUACUUUUUCAUUUUUUUGAGUGGUUAGUGCACAUGGUUUGUCAUUCUAGAACUUGCUCGGUUAUGCAUAUCAAGACCACAUUUAAAUGAGUUUAAUGCAUUGAAAUGAUAUGGCACCUAGGAAUGAGCCACUUUUGGACCUUCUCAAAACCAGCCCUUGGAUUAUUUACUACAAUUAGGGAGCCACGUUGAGCCUUAACCCCUAUUCUUUGCUUGAGACCCCAGCUCUUAGCCGUGAAAUCUCUUUUUAGACUUUCUUUUUGAACCUCGUGUGAAGAAGUGCUUUGAUUUCAUUAUACAGACUUUUGGAGUAUUAUUCGAAGGGCAUUACACCCAUUUUCCAAAAAAAAAAAAAAAAAGAGAGAAAAAAAAGAAAGAAAAAAAAGGGAUGUGAAAAGAAGACAUAGUGCAGGAAACCAGCAAGUAAAGUUGACUUUUAGGGUGCUGGUUGGGAGUAUUGAAAAAAAAGCAAAAAAAAAAAGGGGGAAGGAAAAAAAAAAGAGAAAAAAAACGAGAGGGGGAGUAGAUGAAUGAAAGAGGAGAAAAGGCGAAGGUUGUGGCAGGUGCUAAUUCACUGUAUUUGUGUGGUGGUUGAGAUGCCUUUAAAUUUCAAAUGUACAAGAAUCUAGGUAAUGAAUUUCUGGGCAUUUUCUUUAUACUUUUGCACCCUUUUGACUUCUUUUUAUCCUACCUUCUCACCCUAGCCCCAUUACAACCUUGCACAGUCCCUUGAUUGCUGCAUUUAAAUUCAUAAGUAAGUGGUGGAGAUAUGAUAUAUGAGCAAACUUAUGGUAGUGUCAUUCUAUUGUGCUGAUUUAAGAGCCAUCUUAUAUACAUUUCAUAUACACUUUGGAGUGAAUGAGUGCAUUUUGGACUGUGAGCAUUGUUGAUUUGGUAUAUUCUGAUUUCGAUGAGGUUAUUGGGGAAUUUGGGAUGCCGUUUUUGGUAUGAACUGCUGUGAUUAGCUUCGUAUCUUGAUUGUACUUCUGAGUUAAUUAUGCUUGAGGGCAAGCAUAGUUCAGGUGUGGGGGAGAUUGAUAGGUUGCAUUUUAGUGGGGUACUUUGGGCAUUAUUACACAAUUAAUUGACUAAAUAUUUUCGUUAAUUGGGUGGAUUCUACUGAUAUUUUGUUUUGGUGCUAAUUGCAGGAAUGGUUGCUGAAAAGUGCUUAAAUUCAACUUUUAGAAGAUUCAUCGGACGUGGGGCCCGUUUGAGAAGCUGAAGAAACCUAAUUGUAAUAGAUUUUAUUUUAAUAUAUUUUAGGGAGUCUGGUUGCAAAUUUGGAGAAGUAACAAUUUUUCGGCUAUUGUGGGGAUUGUAUUUUAUCUCUCGCGCGGCUUAGGUUAAGGAGGGUUUUUUUCUUUGUUUUUGGAUGACACGGGAGAACCGCAGCUUUGCAGGAGAAACGGCAGAGACAGAGGGCCACCAUUCUUGACUUCUGUACUUUCUCUUUUCCAUCUUGUGUGGACUUUGAAAACUCAGGAUUUGGUUGACUGAAAUUGGGAAAUCAAUGAAUUGAGGAACCUCUUUUCUCUCGUGUAUCUUACUCAGCAAAUAGGAAAAGAAAAUAAGGGCCGCAAUUGUUGACUAUUAGCUUUGCUUUCCAAUUGGUUUUGACCGGCAUUGAAGUAGGGCCUCAGACCCUCGUUUGCGUUGUUCUUUUUGGAGACAAUUGGAGGCGAUAAAAUCUUGUGUUUCUUCCUCCUGGGGUUGACCGGAGUGGGAGAACCGACUUGCGUACCUUUCCCCCUCCCACACGCGCGGUUUGUCCUUCAUUAAUGGCGGGCUAAUUCGCUAAUUCUAGACGAGGGGGCAACUGAUGAAUUGGUUCAACUAAUACUGUGAGAUCUAAACCAUUGUUGAUUGCUCUCUUCAUUUAUUGAUAUUUACAUGUUCCUUGCUUUCAAUCGCUAUAGCUUUGUGUAUGAUUGGUUAGUGCGCAAUAAUUAAUUGUUCACAUAGGCUAUUUUGCUAUAUAGGGGUAAUUGAAUCCGUAAUUGUUCGUUAUCUCUAUCCCAGUAGCAACUGGCAUAAUUGGAUUUGUGUCAGGGGAAUAUUUGAUCUGGCUUAAAUAAACCCUCGUAGCGUGUUUGUUAGUUAGGAUUGGGCCUUUCUAAUUAUUAAUGCAACCUAGAAAUUAAAUCCUACGGUCGUACCUAGGAUUGUUUUUGGGUUAGAGAAAUAGCUAACGGUCGUACCUUAGCUAUCGAUAAAUUAAGGAAGGGUUGGUUGUUUAUCGAGUGCAUGACAACUAUAACCAAGCUAUUAAUAAAUGUUGGGAUAAUUUUUGCAUCAAUGAUCAGUGCAUGAACCAUUUAUGAAGUGCACCCUUGGCUAGAGUUUCUCUUAGUUAUUUCUUUUAAUUAAUAAUUUUCUGCAUUUAAUUUUUUUUAGUUGGCAUUUGAUACCAAAACCCCCCAUUAAUCCUGAUUUGAAAAGAAACAAAUUUCUCUCCAGUCCCUGAGGAGACGACCCUGCUUACCACUGUCUACUAGUUAGGGAAUUCAGUUAAAUAAUUAAUUCAGGUAUAUCGGAUUAAGCAAACUCUUCGGGAACAGGGUGAAUCAAGUAACCCAUUGCACACCUAGAGUCCCUGCUCCAGUACUCGAAUUGAUUACUGACUGUUUCAGGUGGUAGUUAGGAUUUAUUUAUUAUUAUUGCACAGGUUCGGCACCUGUCACCAAAUUUGGAUCCAACCAAAAAAAAGGAAAAACAAGUGCAGUAAAGCUCUUUAUCAUAUUCUAAUCAAAGCGUCAAACAGAGCUAAAUUACAGAGAAACUUCAAAAAUGAAAGAGAAAAAAAGAUACAAGCUUUUUUGUUUUUUAAAUAUAGAUAAAAACCCAUAUGAACUGAAGAAACUCUACUCAGGAUUGGGAUUUUACUCCUCCUCACCAUUUCCUCAAAAGCUAAGCUGAAAAUUCUCCCUUUCUUUUUCGCCAACUACUUUUCCGUCAAAAGACAACGCGAAAUUGAGGGGCGUCGGAGCCUUGAGCCGGCAGAAUCUCCGAGCGGCAAGGUUCGAGCUCGUCGGAAACAGAUCAGAAGCUUUUUUACUUUACAUAUUAGGUGACUCCGUUACGAAAUGAUCAUUUUCGUCACUUUGAUACUUUAAUCCAAAUUAUAAAGGAGUUAUGUAUAGGUUUUAAAAUUAUACGGGGAUUAUGUAAAAAAUACUAAACCACGGGAGAGUAACGUCAAAUUUGCCCUUAGAUUUUCAAUGUUAUUUCCAUGUAUAAUAAACCAAGGAAAAUCUAAUGCAUCUUUUAUUUUUCUCUAUCUGGUUUGGAAAAAUGCAUCUAGAAAGCUACAUAUUUUUGGAUUGAGGAAUAAGCACCAUGAUUUUGUGGCAAGUUAUUCAUGUAGUAUGAUGGAUGGAUUUGCAUUUUGGCCUUCAACUCUUUGGUGAGCUACAUCUGCUAUAUUUAUAGUUGGCAAACAAAUCCAUUUUAUUAAAUUUAUCCUAUUUUUAUGCUCCUAAAAAAUUGGCAAAUCUAGAGAAACUUUUAGAAAUAAAUCAAAAUUGGGAUCAGACCCUUUUGUUAUCUAAAAUUGAAGAGUGAAAAGAAGACUGUCAUUCUCAAAUUUCGCACAAUGCUAUAUGCAUUGCAAUCUUUAUGUAGACCUAUGGGCAAAUUGAUUCCUGUACUUAGUUAUCAUUGAGCUCAUGAUCUCACAAGCGCUUAUUUGGGGAGGUAGGUAAGAAUGCUUCAUUUCCUGAAGUUAAAAUUAAAGAAAAACAGUUUAAAAAAAUACAUUAACAAAGAGAAAGGAAAGCCACAGGAUGCUACUAGUGCUAGGCAAGGAUUGUUUUCUUCUUCUUCCUUCCCCAUAGCCAGCAGUUUCUCCAUUUCCCAUCACCGGCAUAGAAACGAAUGACAAUUUCAGGUAUGUGUGCUAUUUUUCUGUAAUCUUCAGUGUCUUCCUCCUGAUUCUCGACCUUUUCCAUCAGUUGAGAACUCAUCUCAUACAAAUAAAGCUCUUGAAGAUGGCUCAAGUGCUGAAUUCCCGAAGGUAAGUCCUCUAGUGAUGGAAGUCGAUGAAGAAUUAGUCUUUGGAGAUGAGGGCAUGCACCCUCCUCCACUGCCAUCCAUCUCAACCCUUCCAUUUUCUUUAACCACAACCAUUUCAGCUUUAGGAACCCUCCAGCCUUGAAACAUAACCCUUCUCCUUGGUAACAUCCACAGAAAUUAAUUGCAUCCAAAUUGGGCAAAUGUUGGAGGGAUUUAAGCGGAUCCUCAUCUGCCCUUAACCUACUCCAGCUCAAAUUUAUUUUUACCAAGUUUUGAAGAUGAGUGAUCCAUACUGGCAUCGUUUCUAAGCGGCCACGCACUAGUAGCAAACGAAGAGAUUGAAGAAACGAACAAGAAGAAGAAGAAGAAAGAGAAUGUUGAUGAUGAUUUAGAUCUAUUAUCUCAAAAUCAUAACCUUUUCCAACUGAAGCAAUCCCUAAUUGCUGAAGGCUGGUGAGGUUGACAAGGGAGGAGCAGAGCUCCUUUCCAUCUUCUCUUCUCAACUGUGUAAUAUAUAACACUCUUAAUUGGGUCAAUUUUCCUAUCUCUUUAACUAUUACAGACCCACUACUUGCAUCUAUGGUGUUUAACCUUUGUAGAGCGAGAAGCCCUCCCAAUUUUGACGGACCUUUAAACCCAUGAUAUCCAAAAUCACUAUCUGAGGGAUCAACUUGUUGAGAUACUCUGAGAUGCCGAAGCUUUAGCAGCUUUAGGAUUUCCACGGGUAAUUCCCUAACUCCAGUGUUCCCCAAAUUCAGAUAUUCCAAAUGUUGAAGCUUUCCAAUUGCUCUCGAGACUCUUGCCACUUUUGUACCAUAUAGGCUCAGAUACGUGAGAUGCAACAAGCUGAAAAUCUCAUUUGGUGUUUCCUCUAUCUCUUCACCUCUCAAAUCCAAAACCUUUAGCAACUUACUGCUCCUUAGAACUUCAGAUAGGAAAGUUUUGGACAGUAAUGGGUUGGUGAAACUAACUGCGAUGAAUGAUCGAAGGUGUUCAAAGGAAUAAAAUUGUCUUUGUUGGUGGUAUUGGAUGUUGCUGCUGUUACUACUACUAUGGACUACUAGACGGCGUACCUUCUCAGAUGGCCACGUCAUUGGUUGUCCAGUAGUAACUGUCACCAUGUUUUGUUCCCUUGACUUGAUGAGAAUAACUUCUCUCAAUAGGUCAUGGAUUUGACACUUGUCGGGCAAUCCUUCAUAAAACACUUCAGCUACUUGAAUUAGGCUUCUGCUAAUGAGUUCACUGAAAUAACCCCAGGCUACAUCUUCAAUACUCAUUCCUUCUCUCCAUUCUACAAAUCUUUCAGAAAUCCAUAAUUGAUUCAGUGUUCUGCUAUCUAUUAGAUAAUCCUCCGGAUAAAUGCUUAAAUACAACAGACAGGGUUUGAGAUGCGAAGGCAGAUCGUUGUAACUCAGAGAAAGUAUUCUUUUAACUCUCUCUAAUUUACCGGUGCCUUCUAAUUCACCCCCAAGACUGUGUUGAAUCAUCUCCCAUUCAUCUAUUCUGCUCACGUCCUUCGAAGCCAAGAGCCCACCGAUCGCAACAAUCGCCAAAGGCAAACCGUCACAUUUAUCCAAUACAGCUUUUGCAACAUCCAUCAGGUGGGCGGGGCAACGAUUUCCUUUAAAGAUCUUGCUACAAAAUAGGGUCCACGAAUCUUCAAUUGAUAGUGGCUCCUUUUUGUAGACAUAAUCCUGAGAUUCUAUGCAAGAGGCAGAGGCUACAUCGGCAUUUCGUGUUGUCAGCAUGACGCGAUUGCCGUAGUUACCCUCAGGCAGUGCAAAUUUGAUUGCAUUCCAAAAUUCCACGUUCCACACGUCAUCGAACACAAUUGCAUACCUUCCAGCUGCUUGAAGAAAAUCUUUGACAAAUUCUUUCAACUCAAUGGUAGAUAUAGAUUCGAUGAAUUGUGGGACUGAUUUGUUCAAUUCCUUGUGCAACUGCCAAAUCAAGUCUCUCAGGAGCUUCGGAAAGUCGCAUGUUUGAGAGACGGUUACCCAGGCACGAACUGGGAAAUUCUUUCUAACAUCUGGAUCUUCAUGGACCUUUUUGACUAGGGUAGUUUUCCCUAGUCCAGCCAUACCAACCACUGAAAUAACUUUGAGUUGGUGAUCGUGCCCCUCGAGGAGCUUAGAAAUCAGAUGUUGUUUGGGCUGGUCAAUGCCAACCAAUUUGGCUUCCUCCACUAGAAGUGCAUCAUCCCUGCUAUAGCGCCAUGAGUUGGUCAUGGUUGACGAUCCAGCGACACGGUCGUCGAUGCCAAAUUCAACUUGGUAUCUCUGACGUCCUUCUGAAAUAUUUUUGAUCCUGGACUUUAUGCUUUGAAUUUCACUGGCAACCUGAUGACGAGCUCGCAAGCUCUUAAUGGCUUUGAGAAUUCUCUGAAGAGAGCCACCGAAUCCAUGAUGUCGGUAGCCAGCAAAGCGAAGUACAAAUUCAUCGAGAACAUCUUCAAUGUCAUAAGCAGCUUCGCGCACUUGCUUGAUCCAUUCUUGGAGCCUGGGAUCAUCAUCUUCUUUUGCUUCAGCCACUUUGAGGAAAGCUUUCAUAUGCCCCAACUCAUCCUUGAUGAGUUGGACCUCCUGUCGAAGCCCUCCCAAUAGGCUUCCCUCCUCUCGGAGUAAGGUUGCGAGAUGAUUUGAAACAAAAGAGACAACAGUUGCUGCCAUUUUCAGUCUUCCUUUUUAACCUAAGAAUGUCGGGGAAGGCGGCUUCUGAUUUAUAGGAUAGGACAGUCCAGUUGUAAUAUCUUGAAAGGAAGAAGGAAGAGGAAGUUAUACAGAUUCAUAAGCUGAUGUUCUUCGGUGCAGUAUUUAUCAAAAAGAAAAACAGCGUUAAACAGAAAAAGAAAGAAUUAACCAAUUAGAAGAAACUAAAGCAAGAAACAUCUGAUUGUGAAAGACGAAGCUGCCUUACCUGCCACAAUACAAAAUCAUGGAAGCUAUUAAGAAGACUCAUUUCUGUUUGCACAUUCCUUCUUUCAACUGUGGGUCCUUUGGUCGGAUAAUAACAAAGGAGCACCGUUCAACUGUGGUCCUUCUUUACAAGUAGAAGGAAUAAGGUUAAAACGCGGUUGGACUGGACUGGACAUUAUUGAUUUCUUUGACGAAGAAAUAAAACUACUGCAAAAUGUUUUGCCCCUUCUGCUGACAUUAUGACAUAUAUAAACUCCUCCUUCUAUGGAACUAAUUUCUGCUUUUUUUUUCUUUUGACCCUUUGGACCAACUAGUAUUUGUAAUAAAAACGGAUGGAAUAUCAAGGAACAAACCAGUCCAACGCAGUGUAGACGAAAUUUACAGUAUAGACAUGAAACGCGUGUUUGAGUAGUUAAAGUGGAAAGAGCGCAAGAGAAUGAGAAGAAAACCCCACCCCAAAAGAAAAUUGACAGUUCCGAAUCAAAUGGAAGCCAGCUAUGAGUUUUCCAGGAACAUGUGAUGCAGAGGAAAGUGAAUUUCUUCGGAGUGGAACAGAAAAGGCAACUCAAGACUAAGGAUGGCAGCGGAUCAGCGGUAAGCCCAUAGGUUUUUGCUUCAAUGUUUAGUGGCUACUUAAUGCAAGUCUUGGCAAAAUUUGCUUCACAAAUUUCAUAUCCUUGUUACUGUUAGAGAUAAACUAGACUUCUUGAUCUUGUCCGUUGUUAUCACUGCCUCAUCACAUGCUAGUGCUAAGUCAGUCAUUGGCAUUAUCUAUUUCCUUGACUAAUGAAAACAAUCGCCUUAACAACCCAAAAAAAAAAGAGGCCUUCAUUCAAGAUGUUGAAAUGUACGUUGUUUUUUCUCCACCCUUUUUGAGGCCGUAUAUCACAAACAAAAUCCUUUUCUUUCUUUGUUUCUUUUUUUUUUUUUGGUCCCUUGGUAAGAUAAAAUUUGAUUCUUGAUCCAUAGAAUGGAGAAUAAUGGAGUUGAUUUUUGAAGAACAUAAACCUAACCUCCAAAGUUAAUAGUUAGUGGAAUUUGUGUUUCACAAGAAAGUUAAGACACUAAUUUGGUGGUUGACUAAACAUCGUGAUAUUGGCUUUUUUUUUUCCCUUCUACAGCUAGCACCAGACUAAAGGAUAAAUAAUUAAUAGAGAAAAAGAAAAAAAUGAUCAAGAUUUUAAGAUGAUUUUGCUGAUACAUUAUAACAUAUGUAUAGCUAUCUGAACAUAAAAGCCAAUCUCAUUAUUACUCACUAGAACUGGAGUUGUCUACCAACUAGUAUACUUUUCAUUCCUAUUCUUAUUGUAGAGUUGAAUUUUCUGCUUUUUUGUGAGAAAAUGAAAAAAAAAGAUAAUAAAGAGAACUCUUUUUAAAAUAAUAAAUUCUGACAUGAAUAUAAUGUCUUAUAGAUUUCUUUCUAGAGUAAUAGACUCUGAUGCAGAGGAAAGUGAAUUUCUUCGGAGUGGAACAGAAAAAGCAACUCAAGACUAAGGAUGGCAACUGAGUGGCCCGCAGGAGGCUACCCCGCCCCGGUACCCGUUUAAACAAUCUCGCCAUUAAGGUCAUAUACCGCAUCAGAUACCACACUUGCUGUCAGUGUCAAUGUACAAGGUUGCAGAAUUUCUGAAGGAAGAAGCCAUAAUAUCAAAGAUACUCCUGAAGGCAGGCAAUUUGUAACUAUGGAACAGAAGUUGACCAGAAUGUUGUAUUACAAACAGAUCAGCGUUCAUUGGGAGCCAAGACAAAGCAUGGAAAACUUUCAAUGUUUUGGUUCCACCAAAAACAUUACAAGCAAAAAGAUCCAUCAACCUUUAACAAAUAAGGAUUGAACUGUGUCCUCUUUAUACUUAAUCUUUAUACAAAAAGAUCCUCAUUAUGGCGGAAAGUACAUACUUUUCAUCACAUUCCACCAUAUGGUGAAACCUAGCAAUAUUGACCUUAUAUUCCUUUUCUGUGAUAACAAUGGUUCAUUCGUCAUUAAGCAAUCCAAUAAACACUUGCAAUCAUAACUUUGCCAAAGAAAGAAGAAGAAGAAGAAGGGGGCAAAACAUCAUUGACAAACCAAAUAAAAUCUGAAAACUUAAUGUUGUAAUUACCACGCCCUCUAUGUGUUGUUCCAUAGCUGAAUUUUCCAAAGAAACAGGCAACUACACACCCUAUAUGCCUUUUUUUUUUUUUUUCUUAAUAGCUGGCAAACAUGUAGUGUUUUCAUCCAUUCUACUUUUCAAAUCAGUCCUUGAAAACUUCUACUUGGUACUAACAUCAACCAAAAGCUUCUAAAGUCUCCCUUCCCUCAAAAUAUAGAAUCCAAAUCAUAGAAUCAAAUGUAAAAAAUGAAUGCAAUUGCUUCAAUUUUUUUUGACAAACAAACCAAGCAAAUGUAAAAGCAACUUAAAAAGCAUGAAGAGUUUAGGCUCAAAGCUUUCUCUGCCCACAUAUAUUUCAACAUGACUUGACAUAUGCUCUACAUGGUACACCAAUUCAUAUAAGCUCAUCCUUAUUGACAGACAUAGUUAUAUACUUACAUACACAAUACACGAACACAUACACUCCCCAUCCUCCAUCCCCCUCGCAACCCUGCCAGCGCAAUCACAGACACAAACACAGAGCAGAUCUAAACUACUAGACAGAGAGUCUAUAAAAGCCCUCACACCACCUCAUCCUUCCUUGAAACACUCUUAAGCAAAGAAAAGCCAAGUUCUUACAUUGUAAAACAAGAUAAAAGGACUCCAACAAAUCUACAGCUUCUCCACUCUGUCAAGUCCAGUUAAUAACAGGGAAAAUUUCAAGAACAGGGCAUGCUUGGAACCUUAUUUGACAAAGAAAGCACAAUGGUCGGCUAUCUAUAGAAGGCCUUCAUGCGUGAAAUGUAUUUUCGUGUACACAUACUAGUACAUUUUGUACAAACGUCAGUCCAAAUGCCUUUCACAUUUGGCCUAAAAACCUGAACCCUUCAUUGAUUAGGGCUUCAAGGGCUCCCUUUUCCAUGAUAAUUCUACAGCAAAUUGCAGGAAACAGGAGAAAAUGUGCAACUAUCAUCCAACAACGCAAUAACCAAUCUAUCACAACAAAUUAACUUCUUUCCUCUUCCUCCUCAUGUUUUCAAGCCAAUAGUACCCAAAUUUGGACCCAACCAAAAAAAAGGAAAAACAAGUGCAGUAAAGGUCUUUAUCAUAUUCUAAUCAAAGUGUCAAACAGAGCUAAAUUACAGAGAAACUUCAAAAAUGAAAGAGAAAAAAAGAUACAAGCUUUUUUGUAUUUUUAACAUAGAUAAAAACCCAUAUGAGACUGAAGAAACUCUACUCAGGAUUGGGAUUUAAUCCUCCUCACCAUUUCCUCAAAAGCUAAGCUGAAAAUUCUCCCUUUCUUUUUCGCCAAUUAUUUUUCCGUCAAAAGAC
RNAcentral lists this long non-coding RNA (74736 nucleotides) under Coffea arabica (coffee). RNAcentral describes it as "long non-coding RNA (CARA_LNC005838)". The stretch from base 49355 to 49461 matches the Rfam family "Plant small nucleolar RNA R71". Lineage: Eukaryota; Viridiplantae; Streptophyta; Magnoliopsida; Gentianales; Rubiaceae. The record is from RNAcentral.